AACUACAUUAACUAUUUAUACAAUAUCGAUACACUACAUAUAUAGUACAUAACUAUUAGUACAUUAUAUAUACAUAUUUAUACACCAUUUAUAUAAUAUUAAUACAUGAAAAAAAUUGCAUGAAAAGUCCUUUUAAAAGAAAAGUGAAAAAGUUUUCCUUUCAAUGAAAAAAAUGAAGCAAAAAAGUAACAAAAAAAUUAUUUUUUUCUUUCUUAAUUUACUGCUGAAAAUAAUAGAAAAAGGAUGAAAAUGGUCUAAUGGCCAUUUUAAGUAAUAUACAAAACUUGGUUAUAUUUAUUGUAAAUUUUUUAUUUUUUUAAAUAUAAAUGAAAUUUUUUCUUUAAAUAGUACACAGAUAUCUAACUUAUUAAAUUUAAUGAAAUAAAUUUAGUCAAAUAUUUUUAAAUUUUACAAAGCUAAUAUUAUGUUCAUACGUUUUUAAAAGAUUUUUAAAAAUUCGCCAGCUUCAUCAAGUUCUCGUGCAAAUUCAAUAUUUUCCAUGAAAGGUUUGAUAUACUAUUGCACAAGAGUUGCUACAUACACUUUUAUAAACAAGAACUAGUAGAACUAUCCGUUCUUUGCGCGAUUAAAAAUAUCUUAUUCAAUUAAUGAAAUGAUCCUCUUUACUUGUAAUAUAAUAUAAUGAUAAAAAUAGGUUGUGCACACCUAAAAAAUGACCCUCACUUUCCACAAUUAUAUAUUCCGAGAAAAUUACAUAUAUAUCUUCUUUUGAUUUUAAUUUGUACAUCAUUUUUGAAACUCCAAAUGUAAAUAUUUUAUUUUUAUUUAUCAUAUCUAUUAUGCUUUGAUGUUUUUGCUUGUAUACUUUGCAAUAGGCACGUAUUCCAUCCGUUUCAUUUUACCAGUCCCAAAUUGAUAUCACACAAUUAUUAAGAAAACUAUGAUCUAUAAAGUAACUUUAUCAUUUAACCCCUUUUAAUUGUAUAUCAUUUAACCCCUUUUAAUUGUAUAUUAUUAUCAAUUUCAAUAUUGAUAGAUGACUAAUAUCAAAGCACUAUUUAUAUUCUUAAUAAUAUACUCUUUGUAAUAUUUUUCAAGAAUGUUAAUAAUAAGGAAUAAUCAAUUAUACUAAGGAAAUAAUAAGAAAAAAAAUUAUCUUGAUAAGUAAAAACAGAGAAGUAAAAUACAACAAUAAAUUAGAAAAUUUGAGAUGGAGAAAAAUGGUACUAAGGGAGUAGUUGAGUUGAAUGUAGGAAAGGAAGCAGAGGCUUCAAAUCUGAAAACCAAAAACAGAAAAAUCAACUGACCAAACGCAUGGCCGCGGACAUAACAAUAAUUUAAGACAACUACAAAAUCAUUGCUCCACAAAUUUCAAAUACAAUUAUUGUAGAUUUUAUACUAAAUCAAGAGUGAAAGAUCAUUCAACAAUGGCAAAUUAUUUUUCAAUUAAACUCUACCAGCAGUUUCCUCGUUAUGAUAAAAAUUCCAAAGAAAAGAAUUCUUCAUAAAAACAAUUACUCGUCUUUUUAUAAAAAUAAAUAUGUUAAAAAAAAAGUCACUCAGUUCAGCGAGGUAAUCGACAUGCAAGCAAACUCUAAAAGAGGAGCCUGCAAUCCGGUCUGUUGAGCUUGAAUAUUAUGAAGUCAUCAUCGUGACACUUCUUCCACAAAUAAAUUAGAGUAAAAAGAAAAUUAGAAAACGUGUAAAAUUAAAAGAAAAAAAAAAGAAAUAAAAGAAAUUGCUUAAUCAAGUAAGAGCAGAUCAAGCUAUCAAACAUUAUCUUAUACGUAAAUACCAUUGAUCACAUUUUGUAUUCCAUGCGAAAUUGGUUUUUAUGAAAAUGUUUCAUGUAAAACUGAACAAUGAAACUACAAAUCCUUGAUUUAUAUUAUAACUACAUAGUAAAAACUCAUAUCAAAACAUUAAAACUACAACUUGACAAAAGAUAAUUAACUAUUAGCGAUUAUUAAGGAAAAGCAAUUAAAAUUCAAUUAGUGGUAACUCACAACAAAUCUAUAGAAGGAUUUCCAGAUCACAAAUCCAUACCACAGAAAAUGCAAUCAUGAACCAGGAAUUUCAGAGAAGGUACAUGUUAAAGCUAAGCAAAAGCACUCAAAGAAAACAUUUUCAUAGGAAGCGAUUGAACUUCGAAAGGUAUGACACAAGCCACCAUAUCAUCAUCAGAACGAUAAUCAAUUUCAUUCACAACCAUAACUAGUUGUGUCCAAAGGUGUCCUAAGAUUGAUCUGUGUCAUCAUUUGACUUAUGGCAACCAAUAAACUAAGAAAAAUGUUGCAAAAAAAAAAAAAAAAAAAAAUAUGUGCCACAAAUUAAAAACCAAAAGUAAAACUUGAAUUAAUAAACAGUAUGUGAUUCAGUUGCAACAUAAACAUAAUCACUAUUAUAAAAUCAGUCCAAGUGUUGGAAUUAAAAUAAUUGCUUCAUCAUCAUCACCAUUAGAACAAAAUAUAAAACGGCAGUUUCAUAAAUAGAAAAACAAGAAUAAAAGGUCAUUCAUCACCGAAAUCAGAAGAGGGAGCUUAGAUAUCCUCAUUAUGAUCUCAAUUUCAAAAAGGUCACUCCUGGGCUGAACAUUUGAGUCCAAUAAGUAUUAAUGGAUCGAAUCUCCUUCAGAGGUUAGGUUUGCACGAGAUUUACUUUUGGAAAAUUAUUUAAAACUACAAUAUAAGUUUAUAUUAUUACAUAAAAUUUUAAUUAUUAAAAAUAAUUAUAAAAAUCUCUUUUUAUUACUUUUUCUCUCCAAGUGUCGUAUACAUAUCUCAUCUAUCUUUUUCUUAUGUUUAAUGCUCCUCAAAGAGUAUCUACAAUCAAGGAACCUUAAUCAAGCGGUUUUUAAAUUUUGAAUUUACAAACGUAUUCUUCUCAAAUUGCUCAAUAUCAACUUUUUCAUAAAAAGAAAUCACAGCCGCCGCAUUCCACUCAUCUCCGAUCGGCACACCCCACCAACCCCGUCUCUUUGCCUUCGUCGCUGCUCCAGUGAGAAGCUCCAACUCUGAUGAAUCGAAGUUAACCUCAACAAAUCAACAACCUAUCUGACCGGUGAAAUCUAAUAAAAUUCUAAAAGUUUCUCUCAUCCGAUGAGCUUUGAAAAUACUUCGAAGCAUAGUCAUAAAUAAAAUUAUGGAAAUGACCAAUAAGAUAAGAGGUUCAAUAUGUGAAACAAAGUAAUAUCCAUGUUUUAAUAACAAAAUACAAAACAAAAAUUCAACACUGUCUAUGAAGCCUUUAACUUUAAGAAUAACUCCUAAGUAGGGACUGUGGACAAUGAAAUUUUAUGAAAUGCAAAUCCGUACAAAAUUCGGAUAAUAUUAAAUUUAAAAUAUAUUAAUCCUAAAUAAAUAGUGUGGAUUAAUAUAAUUGGAUUAAUUAGUUAAAGUCCAAACGCAUAUGGAUUUAAUUAAAGUCCAAACGCAUAUGGAUUUAAUUAAAGUCCAAACCUCAAUUGGGCUAACCUAUUAAUUUGGGCUACAAAUGACUAAGCCCACUUUAGCAAGCCCAAGAUGCCGUCAUGUUCUAAAGGCCCAAUUUGGUACCACAUGUCAAAUGAAGUGGUAUGCCAAGUCAAGUGAAGGAGUCAAUGGGACUAUGUCAUGUGUCAAAAUGAUGCAGUAAAUUAAAAGUCCAUAAGAAAUGCCAUGUCACUUAAAUAUGAUUGGUCAAAGAAAGUUUAUGUUUACAUGACUCUUUACUCCCUACAACUAUAAAUAGGGGCCUCAUAAUUCAGAAAAGGGACCAACAAGUUUAACAAGAAGCAAGAAAAAGCUCGUGGAUCAAAAAAGCAGAUUUCUCUACAAAUUCAAGAACAAGCUCAAGAUUUCAAGAUCAAGAGUUCAAGGUUCAAGAACAAGCUCAAGAUUUCAAGAUCAAGAGUUCAAGGUUCAAGAACAAGCUCAAGAUUUUAAGAUCAAGAGUUCAAGGUUCAAGAACAAGCUCAAGAUUGCAAGAUCAAGAGUUCAAGAUUCAAGAACAAGUUCAAUCUUCAAGAUCAAGACUACAAAAUUCAAGAACAAACUCAACGGCCCUUGAAUUCAAGUACAAGUCGAGAUCAAGUUCAUCAAGUCUUCAAAUCAAGUUCAAGUUCAAGAUCAAGACCACAAGAUUCAAGAACAAGCUACCAAGCCCUUGGAUUCAAGCACAAGUCAAGAUCACAUCCGUUAAGUUCAAGUUAAAGUUCAAGAUCAAGCUCGAAGCCCUUGAAUUUAUAGUUUAAAAAGGCAAAUCAGAGGAAUCAUAGAGAUUGUAACACUCACUUAUUGAAAUCAAUAAAUCGAUUGUUGCAGUAUUUUUUCUUGUCUCGAUUAUUAUUUUUUGUCUCGAGAAUUUUACUGUCCAACAAAUUCUGGCACGCCCAGUGGGACGAUUUUUACCUCUCAUCUCAACUUUUUAGACUUUGAAGAUUAAGAACGCUGAAAUGACUUCUAAGAAGAUCAACUCUCAAUCAACUGCUUCCAAGGCUGCUGAUUCAAGGUUCUCUUCUGAAGUGGAAAGCAUUCUUGGUGUUACUUUCGAAAGUUUAGGAGCUGUCACAAGGAGCAAGGUAGGCUUGCUAGGACAACAAACACAUCCAGUGUCGUUCGUGCCAAUUCCAGUUUUUGGAUCUUCAACCCCAAAAAGAGCGAAGUCCAAUACAAGUGCUUCGGAAGGAGGAAGCAGUGUCGCGGAAUCGCUUAAGAAGACUCUAGCUCUACUUGAGCAUUCUGGUUCCAAAUACUCUAGCACAAAGAGCGAUGGUCGUUCAACAAAUGCGUCAUCUCUAUUUAUACCGCAUAAGCUGAGCACAUCAAAGAUUAACUUAUGUGGCAAACCAUAUUACUCUCCAACGUCUCCAGUGAUCAUGUAAGCAAUGGUGACUGAUGCCUCGUCUAUGGAGGAGCAACUGGUGAAUCUGACAAAGGCAAUUGAGAGCCUGACCAAAUAUGUUCAGAAUCAAGAUGCUCGAAUUAAUAAGAUAGUGGAUAGGGUGGAAGGCCUGAUAGAUGGAGCAUCUAGAUAUACACUAAGAAAAGCUCUAGAGGAUCAAGAGAAAGAACAUCCUGGAAGCAAACAGCACCAACUAAAGAGGUACAAGUUUCUUCUGAGGGGAUGAUCUCGAUUGAGCAAUUGAAAAAAUUCAUUGAAGGGACCCUCAAAGACAAGUAUGAUGUUUUCACUAAGUUUUUUCUUGCGAAUGCCAAGCCCUACACUGUAAGGAUCGCUAGCCUCAAAAUUCCUGCAGGUUAUCAACCGCCCAAAUUUCAAUAAUUUGAGGGCAAAGGGAACCCGAAACAAUAUGUCGCACACUUUGUUGAGAUAUGUAAUAAUGCUGGAACUUAUGGAGACUAUCUUGUCAACCAGUUUGUUCGUUCCCUAAAGGGAAGCGCAUUUGAUUGGUAUACGAACCUUGAGCCUAACUCCAUCGAUAGUUGGGAGCAAUUGGAACAUGAGUUCGUGAAUCACUUUUAUAUCACGAGGCGUAUAGUGAUCAUGGUAGAGCUCAUAAAUACUUGACAAAAAAAGGAUGAGCCAAUCAUCGACUUCAUCAAUCGAUAGAGAAAUACGAGCCUAAAUUGCAAAGAUAGGCUCAGCAAAGCUUCUGCAAUAGAUAUGUGCAUCCAAGAAAUGCAUUGGUAGCUUCUCUAUAUCUUACAAGGCAUCAAACCAAAGUCCUUUAAAGAGUUAUCUACUCGUGAUCACGACAUGGAGUUGAGCAUGUCUUCUGCUGGAAAGAGAGGAACACCUAUCCCUGACCCUCAAAGGGGAAAGAAUAAGAAGAAACCCAAAAGAUGGGGCAAGUUUGUCCCCAAAAAUGACAAUAAGGAGUCCAUGAAUGUUGAUGUGUCUCCUGUGAAGGUCAUCACAAAGGUGAGCAAAAAGCAAAGUGUGAAGACGACCUCUGUAGCACGUCCAAAUCAGAAAACUUUAAAGGAGAUACAAGAAAAGAAAUAUCCCUUCCUUGAUUUUAAUGUUGACGAGAAUUUUAAUGAACUCCCUAAUGAAGAUGCAAUGGCUUUGGAAGUUAUAUCCCCAUGGAAGAUGUACUUUGAUGGUGCUAUACAUCGAGAUAGAACUGGUACUGGCGUAGUGUUUGUCACUCCACAAGAAGGGGUCAUCCCCUACUUUUUUACCUUGACGAAUCGUUGCUUCAAUAAUGUUGCUAAGUAUUAAGUGCUCAUACUCGGACUAGAUAUGGUUAUUGACAUGAAGCAACUAUAAUUACAAGUUUUUAGUGACUCUCAAUUGGUGAUAAAGCCGUUGUUGGGAAGCUAUGAAGUUUGAAAACCUGAGUUAAGACCAUAUCAUGAUCAUGCACAAAAGUUGAUGGGAUGGCUUAGAGAAGUAACCCUCUAACAUAUGCCAAGGAAAGAAAAUAAGCAAGCUGAUGCCCUAACUAUUUUGGCUUCAACUCUAACUUUUCCGAAUCAGACACGAGUUACUCUUUGCCAAGAAUGGGUAGUACCGCUAUCACAUGAAGAUGAAGACGUAAAAAGUAAGGUUGAAUACCUCGUCGCCAUGUUCGAAGCUAUAAAGGAGGAUUGGCGAAAACCUAUCAUUGACUACUUGUGUUAUGGGAUACUUCCAGAAGAUCCAAGGAGAAAGACUGACAUUCGUCGUCGUACACCUCACUUUCUUUAUUACAAAGACACACUGUAGCAAAGAUUAUUUGAAGGAGUACUCUUAAGGUGUUUGUGAUACGAGAAUAAUAACCACCUUAGCUUUUGACGACAUCAUUCAAAGUCACUAUGUGAAGAAUCAAGCUUUAGUCGCAUGGAGGGCACAGGAUCAUACUUGGAGGGGACAUUUUGAGCCUACCAUUAAUUAAACUCGAGUGUGAAAGAUUGCUUGGAGACUUGAAGACUUAAGUACUCUCAGGUUUGGACCACCUUAUUGGUUCACGAUUUUGGUUUCCUUGAUUGAAGGGCAUUUUGGUCUCUUAUCUUUGUCCAAGUGACACUCCAUGACCAUCCUUCCUCAUUAAGGGCAUUAGAGUCAUUUUGUAUUUAUUUUGUAAUAGAUUAUAAAUAGGCUCCUUUAGUCUUAUUUUUAUUAGUUUAUGAAAGAUGAAAUAUUGAAACAUCAAAAAUCCUCUCUCUUGAGAGUAGAACACUUAGUCUUAGUUAGGGCUUGAAAAAACUAGUAUUAAUCUUUGCUUGGAAACGGUAGAUCUUGAGGUGAGAUGAUUCCCUUGGCGAUCACCAUAAGAGUGUGAUUUUGAUUAUUACAUUCAUUAGGGGAUUUUGAGUUUAAUACACUUUUUAGUUCUUAAUCUUGUAAUAAUCUUGGUCUCACUAUCUAUCAUUUACUUUUAUUAUUGUCAUCUUGUGUAGUGGACUAUUUUGGGUCCUUUAUUGAAUUUGAAACUUGUGUUAUUGUUAUUCAUCUUGUUCCUCACGUUUUGUAGCUGUUUGUGGUGUUAUAUACACCAUUGUAUCUUGUAUUUUUCUUGUUGAUAGCGAAUCCGAGAGUGUUCUACAUCUUGGUCCUCGGAUCCUUAAGAUUGCGGACUGACUUGGAGUGUGUUUCGUGCUUCCAUUUUCUUUCUCGUAUCAUCGUGUUCCUACAAGAUCAAUCUUGGGGUUGCUUGUUAGAAAAUUCAAAAAAAGUGUUAAAAAUUGAAAAUUCUAGAAAAAUAGCAAUCUGUCUGUGUUUGUGUUCUUGGCCAAAAUUGUGUUCUUGUUGUGUCUUGGCCGAGAUUUGUUUGUUGUGUGACUAGAUCUAGUAGUGUUCUUAUUUUUUUUUUUGUUUCUAGUGUUAGUUUUCUUGUCCACUAACACUUUGAGUCUAGAUCUAAACUUGAGCUUGAACUUGUUGAAAGUUGUUGUUGUGAACAUAAACUUGGCCCAUUGUUGUUGUUCUUGUUGUUAUGGGUUUAAAGUUUGCAGUGUAGACGUUGUUGUAAUUCUUGGUGAAUGUUGUGUUGUUAUUGAAGUUCUUCACAACCUUCAUCUCUUGUUAAAAUCGAGGACACAACACUAAAGAGACUUGGUCGUUUGUUGUUGUGGAUUGGAGUUGGCCGUUGGUAUUGUUGUUGUUCUAGAAAAUUGUUGUUAUUGUUGUUGGUGUGGUUGUUGUUGUUAUUGAAGUUCUUCACCUUCCUUCAUAUAUUGUUAGAAUAUAAAGUGAAUGCUAGAUCCUAAAAGGUGAAGGAAAAAGGUGUACGUACUUGUUAGUCUUGAAAGACCCCCAACCACCAAAAGACAUAUCACUUCUCAACCAUUUUUCCAUGAUUUGACCCAUGUUUUAAGGAGAAGUACAAGAAAAAUUCAAGUGUUGAAAAUUGAAAAAGGCUCCAAGACUUAUUUUUCCUCCUAAACAAAUUCUACCAAUCCAAAUUAAUUUUUUACCAAGACUUGAACAUUUGAGAAUAACCACUUGAUAAAACCAAACCAAUACGUGGUUGCCACAUCAUCAUUGCUACUGUUCACGCAAUAUUAUUGAGCUCAAAAUUUUAUAUUCUUAGUUUUAUUUUAUUGUUUCAUUAGUUUCAUGUCUUGAUUCUAGAAUUAAUUAACAACUAGUAAUAACCUACUUAGUUGUAGAUUUAUUAUUGAAUCUGUUUCUUUCGUGUCUUCGUUAUUUGUGUGCUUUUCUCUUUUUUUAACAUGUAGUAACUUCUUUGUUUCAAGUUCAUAAGUAAAAUUUUUUUUUAGUCUUGAGUCGAUCAAACAAGAAGCUAUUCCGGCCGCCAAGUAGAAUUGACAUCUUAUUAACUACUGGAGUAUAAGCAACUUUCAAUAUUCGUCGCUCCAAUUGUGAGGAUCAUAAUUUGAGUGAAUAGGAGUGUUGGUGAGGAGCUUUUACUACUAAUUUUGUUUGUUCAUUGUGUAGGAACAAAGAUGAUAUAAGGGGAACAUGUCUUCGGUAGCGGGGAUUAUUGUGACUACAACAUGGGAGACUAUGGUUGUAGUGAAGGGUUUUAUGGCUACGAAGUUGAGGGAGAUUGUGGAGGCUAUGAAAAUAGCCAUGAUCAAAACUUGGGCAGAUUUGAAAGUUACUAUUUUGAGGGAGAAAAUAGGGUGAAUGAAGUGCCUAGUGCUUAUGGUGACUUUGGAGAUGAUGUAGGACCUCGUGAUGGAUCUUAUGAUAACGUUAGGGCAUGUGAGGAGUCUUACACUUCUUACUUCAAAUGUAGAUUUGGUGUUAGGUAUAACCCUUUCAUUCGCAAAGUUUAUAAGAGCUAUGAUGAGAGUACACGUGAGGAGUGUAAAGAUUCAUAUUCUCCACCUUGUAGUACUUCUUAUCAAGAUCGAUAUAGUGUGAAUGGUUAUACUAGCUCUAGUGGAGGUUGUUCAACGAGAAGAAGAGGGUAUGCAUCUCUAAAACCGAGGGGUGCUCGUAUCCUUUACAAUAUUGAUCCAAGAAGGAGUGUACACUUCGGAAAGGUGACCAUUUGUGGGAAACCGGGCUUCCUCAUUGUGUAAAUGAUAGGUACUAUAGAAAAUACAUCGUUCCAUCCAUGGUUGACUACUUGGGGUUAUUUUGCGAGCCUUUACUUGUUCUAUACUUCUUGGAUAGAUUUAAGGUUAUCGAGAGGGUCAAAGUUAUCUUCUCCCAAUUUGAGUACCAUAAGAAGGUGUGAUGUGAUAUUCUUCCAUUUACAUAUGGUCAUGUAUGCUUAGGUGCCGAUUGGUUUGCACAACAUAGAGUUCCAAAUGUGCAAAAUUAGCCUAAUGAUGUAAGAGAUCAAUGGGGAAAUCACCUCAUGACAUACAUGCUGUCUGAGCUGCAAAGAGAUGUGAAUACUUACUCGAAUCCGAAUACUUAUGAGGUACAAAAUAUUGAGAGGAUUAAGGCUGUUCAAGGUGGUAAUUCGAGAGUGGGAGCGAAGCGAGGGGAUUGGCACCAAACCAAGCUAACAUUGUUUGUUCUUCUAUUUCUAAGGACGUUUGUGUAGGUACCGACAUGAAAAGUGAUGGAGAGAAAUGUCAAAGUGAAGUUGCUGCCUAAGCUUAUGGAGGACCUUCAUAAUACGAAGAAGGAGAGUCGACUCAAGAACUUCAUGGUAAAAUAGCUAACUAUUACACUUUUAUGCAUGUGAAUGAAAAUUGUGUGGCUAGUAGCCCCUUGAGUGUGAGUAGUAGCUUACUUACUUGUGAGUUUAAUAAAUCUUUGCUUUUUGUUAAUGAUGUACAUGUUAUGAGUGUGGAUACACUAGUUGAUCCUAUUGAUGACCAAAUUGACUCUUCUUGUAAGAUCGAUUUAUGUCCACCUAGUGUUGAAGCCUAUAUAUUGAACGAAAGUACAUCGUCUUGUGUAAUUGGUGUUGAUCAACCUAGUUAUGAAAAUUGUCCACCACUUGAGUAUGCGUGUGAUGUGAUUAAUCAAAAUCAAGUGAGCGAAGUAUUUGAAAAAGUUGGUCAACAAAAGGGGAGUGAAACCGAGAGCUACUCUUGGGAUAAUCUUGUACUUGAAAUCUCUUUAAAAAGUAAUAUUGAGCUUUUAGAGAGUGCUGAAUGUGUUUGUUCCGAAUCUUCCCAUGAAAUAGAUUAUGCUCUCUUUAGGUAUAAUGUCUUAUUUGAAGAUGAUAUAAACACUCUUAAUGAGCCUAGUGGUGGAAAUGAAGGUAUAGCUUGCCUUGGAAGAUAUAGCCGAUAUGCUAACCCACUAUGGUGUGACAAUAUUUCUCCUAAAGAUGGAAAUCUUUUUUUUGAAAGAUGAGAGUACUCGUAUAGGUAAGAAAUGUGUAGUCCUUCUUGAAAACCUGAGGGCAAAGGUGUCAUUGACUCCUUGGAGUAAUGUUCCUUAAUGUGCUUCCUUGUUUGACAAACUUGUCCCUAAAUUGCAUGAAUUCCAACUUGUAGAUGCCAAGUUGUCUAGUUUUUUGAAGGAAAGAAUGUGUAUGUGUUUAAAUACUUAUUCUUCACCCGUGAAUUCCUUUGCAUGUGAUUCUUUCCUAUACUACCUCUUUGCCUAUGAUGAUGUCCAUGCUAGUUUUGGAUUUGUUUUAUGUCGAGGUAGGAAGUUUGUUGGUCUGUCCAUGUGUGUAUGAUAAUGCUAUAUAGAUUUUAUGGACUUUAGAACCAAUCGAAACACCCCCUUUGGUGUGGUUUUUUGAUGAGAUAAAGAAGCAAGGGUGUCUUAUGGCUCAUAAGAUGAAGUAAGUUCUACCUUGUGGAUUAUUUGAUGCCAAUAGGACCUAUGUAGUUUCUUUAUCUCUUGGUGAUUCCCAUAACCAAAUCCUUUGUGCACCUUUUAUUGAGCUUUUAAUAUUUAAUUCAAAGAAUCCUUGGAUAUAUUACAAAUAUGUUCAACCUUGGCAUGUUGAGAUGAUUUAUUGUGCUAACCCUAACCCUCAUGCCAUGAGGAGUUUGUAUUUAUUUGUCCUCUCUUUAUUUUUGCAAGGUUUGGAUUUGAGGUUGAAUUCUUUUCAAGAAGGGAAGGAUGAUACGAGAAUAAUAGCCACUUUAGCUUUCGAUGACAUCAUUCAAAGUCACUAUGUAAAGAAUCAAGCUUUGGUCGCAUGGAGGGCACAUGAUCAUACUUGGAGGGGGCGUUUUGAGCCUACCAUUAAUCAAAUCUGAGUGUGAAGAUUGCUUGGAGACUUGAAGACUUAAUUACUCUUGGGUUUGGACCACUUUGUUGGUUCACCGUUUUGAUUCCUUGAUUGAAGGGCAUUUUGGUCACUUAUCUUUGUCCAAGUGAUACUCCAUGACCAUCCCUCCUCAUUAAGGGCAUUGGAAUCAUUUUGUGUUCAUUUUGUAAUUGAUUAUAAAUAGGCUCUUUUAGUCUUAUUUUCAUUAGUUUAUGAAAGAUAAAAGAUUGAAAUAUUAAAAAUCCUCUCUCUUGAGAGUAGAACACUUAGUCUUAGUUAGGGCUUGGAAAAGCUAGUAUUGAUCUUUGCUUGGAAGCGAUGGAUCUUGAGGUGAGUUGAUUCCCUUGGCGAUCACCGUAAUAGUGUGGUUUUGAUUAUUACAUUCAUUAGGGGUUUUUGAGUUUAAUACACUCUUUAGUUCUUAAUCUUGUAAUAAUCUUGGUUUCACUAUCUAUCCUUUACUUUUAUUGUUGUCAUCUUGUGUAGUGGACUAUUUUGGGUCUUUUAUUGAAUCUGAAACUUGUGUUAUUGUUAUUCAUCUUGUUCCUCAUAUUUUGUUGCUGUUUUGGUGUUAUAUACACCAUUGUAUAUUGUAUUCUUCUUGUUGAUAGCGAAUCCGAGAGUUGUCUCCAUCUUGGUCCUUGGAUCCUUAAGAUUGCGGAUUGAUUUAGAGUGUGUUUCAUGCUUCCGCUGUCUUUCUCGUAUCAGUUUGGGAGAGAAAGAAGCAAUUCAAGCUUUGCAACAAGUGCACUCGGGAGUUUGUGGAUCACAUCAGUCUGGACCCAAGCUCAAUUUUCACAUUAAGAGGAUAGGAUAUGAUUGGCCAACGAUGGUGAAAGAUUGCUUGGACUAUGCUAGAAGAUGCAAAGCUUGCCGAUUCCAUGCAAAUUUCAUAUAUCAACCUCCAGAGGUACUACACCUAACUGUAGCAUCUUAGCUAUUCAAUGCAUGGGGAAUGGAUGUUGUUGGUCCAUUACCAAAAUCUUCUGGUGGACACUUAUACAUGUUGGCCGCGAUAGAUUACUUCUCAAAAUUUGUUGAAACUGUUUCUCUCAAGGAAGUAAAGAAACAAAAUGUCGCAAACUUUAUACGAGUGAAUAUCAUCUACCGCUUUGGAAUUCCUCAGUACAUAAUAACUGGCAAUGAAAAUCCAUUUGAUAACAAGUUAAUGAAUAAAAUCUGUAAUCUUUUUGGUUUCAAGCAGCGCAAGUCUUCUAUGUACUAUGAUGCCGCCAAUGGUCUAGUGGAAGCAUUCAAUAAGACUUUAUGCAACUUGCUGAAGAAAGUCAUCUCCAAAUCAAAUGAGACUGGCAUAAGCAAAUAGAAGAAGUUUUAUGGGCAUAUAGGACAACUUAUCGUACACCGACGUAAGCAACCCCAUACUCACUUGCUUUUGGAGUUGAAGCAGUCCUGCCACUUGAGCGUAAAAUACCUUCUUUGAGACUGGUUGUUCAAGAAGGGUUCACCGAUGAAGAAAAUGCUAAGUUGCGUCUUACAGAGUUAGAAGCUCUUGAUGAAAAGAUGCUGGAGGCUCAACAAAAUCUUGAAUGUUAUCAAUCCCGGCUUUCUCAUUCUUUCAACAAAAAGGUUCGCUUGAGGUGUUUCUAAGUUGGAGAUCAAGUCCUUACAGUAAGAAGACCCAUUAUCACUUCUAUAAGUCUGGGGGCAAAUUCACUCUGAAGUAGAAUGGACCAUACGUCGUACAAGAGACAUAUUCAAAUGGUGCUUACAAGCUUGUUGAUGCAGAUGGCGUGAGGAUUGGUCCCAUCAAUGCCAAGUCUUGAAGAAAUACUAUCCUUGAAGGAAGAUGACAAUCCUUAAGGCAUUAAACCACAUUGAGAUUUUUGUUUUGAGAAUUUAUGUGCUACAUGCACCCAUGUUUAGACUAUAAGGGUCAUUAACCCACAUUGAGAUUGUUGUUUUAAAAAUUUAUGUGCUACAUGCACCCAUGUUUAGACUAUUUUUGAUGCAGUAUAGAAAGAUUUGACCUUUUGGUCACAACAAAGUUAAAAUCCACUUUAUGAAAUGAGUUCCGAAUUUUAUCAUUUAUUUAACUUAAGAAAUAUGAGAUUACCCUUAAAGUGGAUUUUUCUUGAGAUUUUUUAGCAUAGUAUUGGGAGUAGUAUUUAGCACCGAGUUGGGUAUGUUACUGCGAUUUCAUACCCUAGAACUAUAUGCCACCGUAGGUUGAGACAUUGACUUCCACUAUAUGUGGAAAAUUGAGAUAGUGAUCACUGAGAUGAGAUUAUUCUACACCGAUUGCAAGAUUAGGACAGCCCUAACCUUAUGGGGGAAAGUCGUGGGACAUCAUGGGUGCUCACAUGGUGUACAUGUCGGUUAGAAGAACCUCCCAAAGAGUCGUCUCUCAUUCUUAGAUUGAUUUUACUGAUUUAAAAGAGAUAAGAAAUGGAGAUUUAUGAUGUAUUCAAUAUUCCAGAUUUUACUAAGAUUGCGUGAUGAGAAAAUAAGAAAAGAAUCUUGAUAUUUGGAUUAAGUGUAAUGGCUCAUGAUAUCCAGAUUGGCAUGUUUUACCAUUCAUUGUGUAUGAUAGAUUUUAGAAGAUUUCUUUCAANNNNNNNNNNNNNNNNNNNNNNNNNNNNNNNNNNNNNNNNNNNNNNNNNNNNNNNNNNNNNNNUAUAUAUAUAUAUAUAUAUGCAUAUAAAUAUGUUUAUUUCAUGCACCCCUAUGUACUCGGUACAUAUUCCAUGGUACUGACCCACAUGUUCGCAUGUGGGCUACAUUUUUCUUAUAAUGUAGGUUCAGGUGCUCAUUCUCAGGUUUGACCGUCAUUAUCCAAGAACGCUGAUCUACAUCCUCUGCAGUGGCAAGUCCUCAUGGUCCUAGGACUAGUUAUUCAAAUUUUCUCAUUUACUUUGAGUCGUUCAGUUUAUUUCCUGAGUUUGGGUCAGUUGGGGUUUGUCCCAAUGGCUCAUGGAUAUACAGUUUAGUAGAGGCUUAUCAAACUAGAUGAAUAGAUUUAUCAGAUUUAUCAGAGAUGUCGUAUUUUAUUACUUUCCAUAUUUCAUUCGUAUUGCAAUAUGAUAUUAUAGAGGAUGUUUAGAUGUUUUGAUUAUGAUGACUUUGAUUAUAAGUGUUGAAUGGUAGAAAAAUGAAUAAAAGGGUUAGCUUGGGGCUACUUGUAGCCUUAAGCACCGUGUGAUGCCUCGGGGCCCAUUUUUGGGGCGUUAUAAAGGGAUUUUAAGUUAUUGAUGAAAAAUAAAACUUUUAGUUGUAUUAUAUUCGAGAAUGGGUUUACAAUUUUGAGUUUUGAUGGUAAAAUCGUAGAAAGAACUUGAGAAAUUCCUAGUUUCCGUUGCAGUAUUCCGUUGACUAUCAUGUUGUGGUAUUAUUGGAUGGUGUUUGUGGUGGUGGUGGUGGUAUUUGUGGUCGUCGUGGUGGCACUGGUGGUGGCAUUGGUUGGUGGCGUUUGUGGUGGCUGUCGGUGGUGUCGUAUUCGUGGUGUUUGUUUGUUUGUUGGCAUUAGUUGGUGGUAUUUGUGGUGGUGGUUGUUGGUAUGUCGGUAUUCGUGGUAUUUGUAAUGUAUUUUUUAAAAUCUAUGCAUACAUCAAUAGUAAUGUAAUUUUUGUUUUUCUUUGUCUGUAGGUAAAACAUGUCUCUCAAAAGAAAAGAAAGUCAAAGUGGAUCAACGUCUGACCACUAAAUAAAAGGCUACAGUACAGAGGUAUUCAAAGGAGCUUCCUGAACAAUCUCAGUCAGGGAAAAGUGAAGCUGAGGAGAGAUGAAAACAACAUUGAAGGAGGUGGACAAGGGUCCGUAGAUGGUGAUAAAGAAAAUGAAAGUGAGAAAGAGAAGGAAUUGGAGAGUGAGAAAGAAAAAGAGGAUAAUUAUCAACAUGAUGAUAAUGGAUCACCGAGCAAAGAGCAACACCAAUAUUAAGGAAGCUGAUCUUUUUAACCCUCAAGAUGAUGCAAUACGUCUUCUUCAAGUAAAAUAAUUCUACUCAAAGAUAAGAAAGAUAUUGAACAAAUGUUAUAUCUGGUGCAACAGAUAUUAUAUCUGAUGCACCAGAUUGGACAUAUGUUGCAAUAGGGUAUAUCUUGCAUCAGAUUACCCAUCUGUUUCUUUAAUUCUCUGAAUCCGACUCUUAAAAGAUUUACCAUUUACUACAAAUUAUGCAACAGAUGUUUAAUCUGAUAACAUAUUGUUCAUCUAUUGCGACAUACAGAUCAUCUAUUGCAUAAUUGAUUACCCGUCCUGUACACCUGUUGCAACAUAUGAUUGAUAUUUUGCAUCAUAUUAUCCAUGUGUUGCUCUGUUUCUCUGAACCAGACUCAAAUGGAUUUUAACCAUAUACUGCAAACUAUGCAACAGAUGGGUGAUGACUUUUUAUAUUACUCUAGGUCAUGUUGAUACUAUUGCAGACCCAACGGUGGAGUUAAUAAAGAAGGAAUUGGCUGGAGCAACAACCCUAAGAAGAGCAGUUAGGCAAGGUCGGCCUAAUGUUGAGGCUCUUCAUGACCAACCUUUUACUAAGACAGAUUCGGGUGCUUCUUCUGGUGGAGUUGUUGGUGUUGGUGGCAGGCAUGCUGAUGCUACUACCACUCAUGAUGAUGAGCAUGUUGAUGCUCAAGAAAGAAUAAAUAUGUUUGAAAAUAUCCCUUUUUGCCCUUACACAGGUCCCUAUCACCCCUCUUCAGCCUCGUGUUCUCAUUAUAAAUGCGAUGAGUACAAGGACAGACAGGAUAAAAUCUUUGAAAAAAUAGAGACUAUCUCUAAAUCUAUCGAGAAAUUCAAAUCCAAGAGGUGUGUUAUACCAUCCAAGAAGGUGAGGGAGCCACACACUCAUACAACGUUGGUUAGGAGAAAAAAAAGAGCAAUUAGAGACGUACUCACCGCUCAAAAAUAAAAAAAUUGCAAUUUCUCCCUCUCCAAAAGCUGUUGAAGUUCAGGGUCCAGUCAAGAAGGUAGACAUAUACACUAAACUUGGUACCGAAGAGAAGAGGGAGCUGCGACAGGCCAAGCAUACCAAGCCAGGCGCGCCAGAUUACCCCAGACCUCCCUUUUCCCCCAAGACUUCCAGACUAUGACUGAUAUGCGUAUGCCGUAAGAGGAUAAGGCAAGUUUACUUUUCCUAACCUAGCCCUUCUAAUCUACCCCAUGAAUAAAAAGCUACGUAAUAGAUUUCACAUCUGUUGCAACAGUUGGGUAUACUGGUGCAACUGGUAGUGGUUCUGUUGCAACUUAUUAUCCAUCUAUUGUAUAAGUUUUGGAUUAUUGAUUCAGAGAACCCUAUGAAACAGAUGGACCAUCUGUUGUAUCUUUACAAUUACUAACCUAUUUAAAAAUUAACUUCUUAUCUCACAACAUGUUGACGUAAUUCUCUACCUCAUGAGGAAAAGGCAAUAAACUACAGGGAAGCUUAUAACGUUGCCGAUAGGAUAAUGGACCUCGACUUCUGCAAGAAGCUUAAGGAUAGGUACGAUCAAAUCAAUGAAGAGGCGUCAUCCCUUGGUGUGGGACUUGAUUUCCUAGUUCCUACGUUGGUCUUGGAUGAAGAAGAAACGUUAAGAUAUGUUAGAGGGGACAGGCUAAAUCCACACGGCAAGAGCUGGACCGAGGCAAAAAGGAUUCUUCCAGUCAUUAGCAUGAACGGCAUGCAUUAUAGGGCUAUUGAGAUACUACUCGAGGAGGAAAAGAUCAAUGUUUAUGACACCAACAUACCUCUCAUCGAUGAUUUCGAUCUUUUUCUCCUCGUGGAGCCACUGAUGGUGCUGUUGACCAUCUUGUUGAGAGAGAGUAAGCUGAUGAAUCGUUUUCCAAAGGAAGUGUUGAUGAAGAAAUCAUGGGAUUUUGAAGGUCAAAACAAGGGAAUGAUCCUUCCAAAAGAUGAUGCCGCUAAAGCAAACGGUUCACACGCUCUUGCACACAUCGAAUGUUUGCUGACCGACACAGAAAUGACCGAGCCAACAACUUUUCUGUGCGAUAAUAUUGUGGCAAACCUGCAAGAGGUCAGGUCUUAUGGGGUACUAACUGGACGCUUGAAGCCUGUGUAUAUAGAAGAGCCUGUGAAAUAGAAAUUUUUAAUUUCAAGUCACCCUUCACUUUAUUACAUGUACAUGUAGUGGCAACAAUUUUUUUGAUGAAAUUUGAGUUUUUUAUAUGCAAUGGAUUAGAUUGUCAAUCUGUUGUACAAUAUCUUUAAUCCGUUCUGGCAUAUAGUUUAUCUGUUGCAAUAGGUUGGUCAUCUGUUGCAUUACGGUGAUGUUAUUUCUAUGAAUAAUCUAAUAAUCUAAGUCUAAUCUGUUGCAACAGUGGAAAGACCUGUUUGAUAAUUUAUAACAGAUGAGCUAAAUUUUACAACAUAUGCCUAAAUCUUUUUGAUUUUUUCAGCAGUUACGCUUGAAUAUCCAUGUGCUCGACAACACCAAACCAGUAGCAAAUAUACACACCACCAUGAAAAUUUCAGCAAUUAGACUUAAAUAUCCAUGUGCCCAACAACACCAAACUAGUAGCAAUAAUGGCAAUAAUGUAGUAUCUUCUUGUUCAAUUUUGCUUCUCUUCAAAAGCCUUGAAUUUGUUCAACAAACCCCAGAUUAUACGAUUUGCUUGUGAAGGCUGUCAUUCUUCAUACCAAUCAAAUUAAUCACAUCCAUCCAAUUUCUAUAAAAAAGUGAACAUAAUUACAAAAUAAUUAAUCAAUUAAUUAAAUAAAAAAAUAUUACCUUUGAAAUCUUACAAGUAAAAAACCUAUGAUCCGAAUUUUGUUGAGUCCAAGAAGUCUUUAAUAGAGCUUCAUGUCCGCACUUACAAUAUCAAAAAUCUUUAUCACAAAAAACAGUGGAAGAUGCUCUCGACAUUGUCAAGCUCAGUUGAAAAAAAGGAAAGAAAUAAUUUGAAUAGAUAAACGAAGAUGAAGAUGAAGAAGAAGAUUUGAAAAUUUAGGGUUAAAUUUUUGGAGGAAGAUGAAUAUAUAAGACAAUGGGGGAAAAAAAUGACCAUUGGGGGCCAAGUGACGGAAAGUCAGCGAAAUGUACCAGACUGACACUAACACAUUUGAUGUCUAUUUUAUUUUACAUAUUUAAAAUGAACACUGUCUACUAGAUGCCUAUCUUAUUUUAGGUGUUUGAACUGAACAUCAUUGAUGGGUUGCGCCUUUUUUAUUUCAAUUCAAUUCACUUUAACCUUUUUACACGUAGUGAUAAUUUUUUAUGUCCAACGAAAGUUGAAUUUUUAUAAUGCAAUAGAUUCUCCAUCCGUUGUAACAGUUAUCCUACCUGUUCUGACAUAUAGUUUAUCUGUUGUAAUAGGUUGGCCAUCUGUUGCAUUAUCUCGAUUUUUAUCUAAAGUCCAUCUAUUGCAAUAGUGGGAAGACCUGUUUGAUAAAUUCCACCAGAUCAACUACCUGUUGCAAUAUAUGUCUAAAUCUGUUUGAUUUUUCCAAUAGAUGUGUCUUCUAUUGCAACAAAUACAUUAUCUGUUGCAAUAUUUGAAUCUAGUGCUCCUUUUCAAUUAAUAAGUUCAAAUCUAAGAAAUAAAUAAAAUUUGUAGACAAAAUAAAAUAAAUCAAAGCCUUCAUAAAUUAGCUGAAAUAAGUCGACGAAUAAAUGAAAUGUAAAAAAAUUAUUAUGGGUAUAGAUCUCAAUAAAUACAUCAACAACAAUUUAAGUAUAAUGUCAAGGAUUGCUUUGAAUUGACAAGCUCAAGCUAUAAGGAUCUACUCAGUAUGGACAAGUUGUUCUUCAUUCGGUGCUAUGGAAUUCGACUUUGCUCGUCGUGUAUUUUUAUUGUUGCUUAUGUACGGUUUCUGCACUUUCUGUUCUCCGCAUUUCCAUAAAAAGAGUAGCAUAUUAUCAAUGUUGUUCAGUAGUAGCUUCUUCUAUAUUCACCUGGAAAGCCAGAAUUGGUCAAUGCUAAUCACGGAGAUACAACAAAAUGAAAAAGGAUAACUCAUCUCUUCUAGUAAAUCAAACAGGUCUUUCUCCCAUUUUAAAUUAUCCCAAACAGAUUAUAUUUCUGUUGCAACAAUGAAUCAACUGUUGGGAUAAAUUUUUACAUGAGAAAGAUCCUGUGUGAUAAUUUCCAAUGGAUGAACCAUCCAUUACAACAUAUAAAUCAUCUAUAGUAGCAUAUAGGUCAUCUGUUGGUACAAAUAAAAGCGGUAUGAAGAACUGUUUGAUUUUCUAAACAGAAGAGACAUAUGUUACACCAGAUAAAGUAUCUUGUGUAACAGGUUAGUCAACUGUUGCAACAGAUGUAUAUAUCUGUUUGAUAAUUUUUAGCAGAUAUGUCAUCUAUUGAAACAGAUAUGUGUCUGUUUGUUUUGUCAGUUGGAAGACAUAUAACAUACUCACCUUCUUCAGCUCGUGCUGCUCUCCUUUGGAUAUUGUACGUUACUUAGUGCAACACACAGACAGAGUAGUUAUAAUUUUGCUUUUUUGGAUGCUUGAUAAUACCCUGGAAAUCACUCUCCUUCUCUCUUAGCCCUAAUCUCUAAUGGAGCGGAUGGAAAUAAAAUCCUCUUUGAUAGAAUGAGACCUCUCUUAGAUGUCAAUUCCUUUAUAGAAGUAGUUAAUGCAUUAAUAGCAUUAAUCACUACAUCAUGUUUCGCCCUCCAGUCUUGACAUUUGCAUGCAGAACAUUCGCUGGGAGAGGCAAAAUCUGUAUAACCAGUAUGAUCAUACUCAUAAUGAUUUGCUUUAAAUACUGUAAGAGGAGCAUCAUUAGCACCAACAGCAGCACCACUACCACCACCAACAACUCCAUCACCACUAAGACCAUCAACAACAACAACAAGCCCACCUUUUAAAAUUAUUUUUCUUAUAAUGGCUGUUGCUCCAAAUAAUUCUAUUUUUAUUCUGUCGAUGAUCUUAGGGUUCGAUAAGUUUGUACAGACCGUAAAGUAAGAAAAAAUAGCAUAUUCAACUCUCGAUUGGUUGGAACUAGCGACGGAUGCACAAUCUAACAUAAAUCAUGACAUAUAUUAGAAUGAUGAUUAGAUCAAUCAAAAUAAAUCAUUAAUUAAAAGAAAAAAUUAAUUAUAAUUAUAUUUACUGCAUUCUUCGAGGGGUUGAAGAGAUCAAGAAAUUUUGCACUUUUAUCAGUUUUGGCUGACAACCAUCUCAAGAUUCUUGGACAGGAAACUCCUUCCUGGUAGUUCACUUGUUGUCUUAAUAAGGAAUGGCUUCAAACGCCCAAGCAUAUAAAAUAAUGCCAAUAAAUCAAAACCAUUAUUGAGCCAAAAAAAUGAAUGAUAUCAUAAUAGAAGAAAGAAACAUUUACCAUGAAGUCCAUGGAAAAUCAUAUAAGUUGACUGUCUUUGGCGCUAACGAAGUCAACAAAUAUUUGACAGUCAUUUUGAAGCUUUCAUACCCCCAAGGAUAGCUGUUAAACGCCUUAAGAUCCUCGGAGAGCUUUAUUAAACCGAGGCUUAUGUUGUUGUUAACGUCUCUCGCCCAAAGAAUAUUAUGUACAAACCAAACCAAGCACAAUGAUUGCUUGUGCUUCUUUGAAAGUCCUUUACCUUUCAACGCUUCUAUCAAAUUUUUAUUUUUGAAGCUUGGACCAACAAUGGACACCAGGUUAUAACGAUCACACGACUUGCCUUUGCCUUUUUGGGGUGUGCGGGGUGCUUUUUUAGGUUAGAAUAGGUAUAACUUGAGAAGGAGGAUAAUAUUUUAGUCCAGUAACUAUGGCAAACUCUUUCCAACUAAAAUAAAUAGGCAUGCCACAGUAAUUUAUCCACACCUCAUCUAUCUUAUCUUUAUUUUCAUAGAUAAACCUAUGCUUGAGAAGUUCAUAUACCAUUUUCAUUUAGAAACAAGCAUUGUUGUCCUCUGGCAAAUCAAGAUAUUUCUCAAAGUAGCUGUGCCUGAAAUAAGCAUCUAAUUUUUAUUCUCAAAGUAUUUUUCUAAAGGCGUUGAAAGAUUUUCCCAUGAAUAACUUCCACGAAAUUACCCGUUAAAUCUGCGGCAUCAUCACACUGCAUUCUCACAGGAUAAUGAUCAAUGUUGAAGGCUUUGACCAGCUCUUCGAUGGAAGGGCUAUUAUCAUCUGCAUCAUCUCUUCUAAAAUAUUUCUCCUCCCCAUGUUCAUCAUAUUCUGCUCUCGAUUGAGAUAACGCUUGUAAAGCAAGCUCAUAGAGUGGUGGAUGUAGCCUAGCUGUUUCACUUGUUCCUUUACUUGGACUUGAUUCGAUUUCUGUUCUUUUGGGAAUCAUAUUAUCUAAAAUUAACAGGAACAUAAAAUAAUAUAUUAUUGUUGAUUAAUGCAUCAUUAAAAAAGGAUAACAGUAAAUCAAACAAGCAAAAUAGUAAAAUGACAGCUUUAACAGAUUAUCGAUCUAUUGCACUAGGUAGUAUAUCUGUUGCAGCAUAUAACCAAACUGUUGCAACGGAUGAGUAAUCUGUUACAACAAUAAAAACAUAUCACUCAUAUUUUAAGACAGAUGAAUGGUCUGUUCAACAGAUCACACAACUGUUGUGACAUCAUCUGUUGUAAUAAAUGAGUGAUCUGUUGGAAUAGUUAAAUAAUCCAUAGCAACGGCUGAGUAAUCUAUUGCGAUAAUACAAACAUAUCAUUCAUCUGUUCAGAAAGAUGAAUGGUUUAUGCAACAGAUCACACAUCUGUUGCAACAUAUGAAUGAUCUGUCAGAGCAGUUAACUAACCUGUAGCAAUGACUGAGUAAUCUGUUGCGACAAUACAAAACAUAUCACUCAUUUGUUGAGAAAGAUGAAUGGUCUGUGUAACAGGUCACACAUCUGUUGCAACACAUGAGUGAUCUGUUGGAACAGUUAUCAACAGUCAAUAUUGCUUAGUUUUCUUCCAACAUAGGGUCGUCUAUCAUGGCAGAUGAAUGAUCAGUUGAAAAAAUCAAGUCUUGGACAUUUCCUGUAGGAAGAGUUGAUAGGAUUUUAUCCAACAGAAGGUUCAUCUAUUGCAUCAGAUUAUUAAUCUGAUGGUUCUUCCAUUGCACCAGAUGAUUAAUUAGUUGCAUCAGAUUUUUUAUCCUAUGCUUAAUUUUUUGCAAUAUAUGGUAAAGCUCUUGCAUCAGAUAGUUAAUAUGUUGCAUCAGAUUAUUAAUCUGUUGCAUCAGAAUUAUAAUUUGAUUAUUCCUCGGUGCAUCAAAUGGUUGAUCUGUUGCAUCAUAUGAUAAAUCUGUUGCACCAGAUGUUUAAUAUGUUGCACCAAAUGAGUAAUCUGUCGGAGGAAAUAAAAAACAGUAGCACGAUUUUGUUCAACAAAAAAUAUCAAUUUCACCAUUUUUACUAAGAACAAGAACAGAACAAAUCAAACCAAAUUGUCGUUUUAUCUUAAUAAACACAAACAAUAAAAAUCAAACUUCAAAAAAAUGCAACAAACAACAAAAUAUCAUAAUUCUCUUCGAAAAGAAAAGAGAAGAAAUACUAGAAAUUAGAGUUUUAUUCAGACCGCAUUUCAAAUUAGUGCAACAAAUAUUAAAAUUGUUAACCAAUACUAUAAGAGAAGUUGGCUCAAGUUCCUUGUUUUCUUCAAAACUAAAAAGGCCAUAAAUUUUUACCUGUGAAAGAAGAAAAGGAACGAUGAAGAAUUCGAAGCUGUUGUGGCCGGAGAGCAAGUCUGUCACGUCGAUUGAAGGUUGAAGUCGAAAAGGAACUCGAAGCCCAACUAUUUGUAGUCGGAUGUUAAAGUCGCCGAGGAUUGAAAUGAGAAAUUUGCAGAACAGUUGGUUGGGAAAGAAUUGAGAGAAGCUGCCAAGAGAGGAAUGAAAGACAGGUUGAUUGAAUAGAAGAGAGGAACUCGAAGCCCAACUAUUUAUUGUCGGAGGUAGAAGUCGUCGGGGGUUGAAGGGAGAAAUUUUGCAAAACUGUUGGUUGGGAGAGAGUUGAGAGAAGCUGUCGAGAGAGAGGGGAGAGUGGUUGAUUUGGAUUGAAGAGGGGAGUUGGGUUGAUUUGUAUUUUUGAAAAGAUUAGAAAUUUUUAAAAAUAUUAAUCAAGUCCACAAUUAACUUAAUUAAGUUUCCUAAUGAUGUUUGACCCUAUCUGUUGGUCAAUGUCACCAAUCCUUCAUUCAAGACUUAAAAGACACUUUUCCUUCAAUUUUCUCCACUUACUCUAUCUCAAAUGUCCAUUUUCUUUCUAAUUUUAAAAAGUGUUUUUUCUUUUUUGCUUUGCUAUUUAAAAAAGAAAAAAAAACUUUUUAGUUGUUUUUUAUUUAAAUUUUUUUUAUUUUCUAAUAGUUUCACUUCUUUAGUGAAAGAAAAAUAUUUAUGUUGUUUUAUUUUUUUAAUUUAUAUUUUUAUUUAUUAAGGUGGGAACGUAUUAUAAUCAAAUAAGUAUCAAUAUCGAUACAUUACAUAAUUAUUUAUAUAACAUCGAUACACAAUUAUACACCAUUUGUAUAAUGUACCUAUUUAUGCAACAUCGAUAUAAGUUUAUACAUGCAUGUUUAUACAUACAUGUUUAUAUAGUAAUUAUACAAUAUUUAUACAGGUUUAUACAUCAUUUAAACAGAGUAGAUAUUACAUAACUAUUUGUACAUCGUCGACACUUGUUUACACACAUUUAUAUAAUAUUGAUAUAUUAAAUAUAUGCUACAUAACUAUUUGUACAUCAUAUAUACAUGUUUAUACAUCAUGUAUACAAUAUUGUUACACGUUUAUACUAUUAUACAAUAUCGAUACACUACAUAUAAACUAUGUUAACUAUUUAUAUAAUAUUGAUAUAUUAUAUAUUAACUACAUUAACAAUUUAUACAAUAUCAAUACACUACAUAUAUAGUACAUAACGAUUAGUACAUUAUAUAUACAUAUUUAUACACCAUUUAUAUAAUAUUAAUACAUGAAAAAAUUGCAUGAAAAGCCCUUUUAAAAGAAAAGUGAAAAAGUUUUCCUUUCAAUGAAAAAAAUGAAGCAAAAAAAGUAACAAAAAAAUUAUUUUUUUCUUUUUUUAAUUUACUGCUGAAAAUAAUAGAAAAAGGAUGAAAAUGGUCUAAUGGCCAUUUUAAGUAAUAUACAAAACUUGGUUAUAUUUAUUGUAAAUUUUUUAUUUUUUAAAUAUAAAUGAAAUUUUUUCUUUAAAUAUGUACGCAGAUAUAUAACUUAUUAAAUUUAAUGAAAUAAACUUAAUCAAAUAUUUUUAAAUUUUACAAAGCUAAUAUUAUGUUCAUACGUUUUUAAAAGAUUUUUAAAAAUUCGCCAGCUUCAUCAAGUUCUCGUGCAAAUUCAAUAUUUUCCAUGAAAGGUUUGAUAUACUAUUGCACAAGAGUUGUUACAUAUACUUUUAUAAACAAGAACUAGUAGAACUAUCCGUUCUUUGCGCGGUUAAAAAUAUCUUAUUCAAUUCAUGAAAUGAUCCUCUUUAAAAUAUUUGAGCACUUGUAAUAUAACUAGAGGAACAUGGCCCGUGUAGUACAGGCCUAACAUUAAGAUAUUUAUUUCUCUUUUCAAUCUUGAUAUAUUUAAAUAAAAUUUUUUAAUAACAGGAUUGCAUAUGUUUUCUAGGAUUCAUCCGGAAUCUAGCAUUAAUUCAACAUAUCUUAUUUUAAUAUUAUUUAGAUAAUUUAAGUUGUUAAAUAUUGUAAUUUAUAAUAUUUUUUAUGUAAUUUUCAAAUUAAUAUACGUUACUUUUCUUGUCCAAAUUUUGCAGCAUUGAUAGACAAUUAUAUUUUAAAAAUAAUUUAAGUUUUUAAUUAUUUUGAUUUAUGAUACUUUCUUCUAUUUCAAUUUUAGUGACACUAAUAUAAUUUCAAGAGUCGACCAAAUAUUUUAUAUCUUUCAAAAAUUUUAAAUUGUUAAUUAUUGUGAUUUCUAGUAUUUUUCAUGUGAAACAUAUAACAUAUUAAAUUAUUUUUAGAUAUUUUAAGUUGUAAACUAUUAUAAUUUAUAAUACUUUUUAUGUAAUUUUUGAAUAAUAUAUUUUACUCUCCUUGUCCAGAGUUUUGUGUCAAUGAUAGCCAAUUAUAUUUUUUAAAUAAUUUAAAUUUUUUAUCAUUGUGAUUUGUAAUAUUUUUUCUAUUUCAACUUAUGUGGCACAAUGCUUAAAUGACCAUAAUAAUUAAUUAGGAGUGAUAUAAUAAAAUAUAAUUAUUAUUAUUUAUUAUUUAUUACUUUUAUUAUGUGUAUGUGUUGAUUCAAGUAGAAUUUGGAAACAUUUAGAAAUAUGUUGAAUGUUACAAAUGUUAAUAAUCCAUUUGGUGCUUCUUGAUUUCUCUACAUUUAUUUCUUGUGUGUUUUUACUCUUUUGUUCUUUGAGUAAAUGUAGUAAUUUUUUUAAAAAUAUCAUGAAAUUUUUUAUUAUUAGUUUUUCAAUACAAAAGUGACUUAUAAUAAUUAAUUGCGGGUGAUACAUUAAAAUCACGAUUGAAGCAGCAAAAAUCAGUCAAUUUUUUAAAAUUAUUUUGUUAAUUAUUGUUAUUUACAGUACUUUUUAUUUUAUUUUCAAAUAAUAUAUGUUGCUCUAUAUCUUCUUCUAUCUAGUCCCAAUUUAUGUGGCACUAGUAUAAUUUUGAUAGUCAAUCAAAUAUUUUAUGUUGACAUAUAAUUUUGUUAUUUUAUUUUUUAAUAUAUAAAUGACUUAUAAUAAGGAGUGAUAUAAUAAAAUCAUCGUUCGAAAGACAAAAUUUUAAUUUAAAACAUUAAGAGUUAAUUUCGCAUUUUAUGUCUAUUUUAUUUUUCAUUAAAUAUUAUUUAUUUUUUUAAUACCUAAUUGACUCAUAAUAAUUAAUUAAGAGCGAUUAAUUAUGUUAUUACUAUAAAAAUUAAUAUAAUUUUAUUAUAUCCAAUAGUAAUCUUCGAUAAUUCACUAAAAUAAUAUAUUAAUUAAAUACGAGAUGCUAUAUUUGCAUAUGCAAACUUUAAAAAUUUAAAGUUAAGUUUAAAUAUUAGUAUUUCUAUAUAAGAAAAAAAUUAAUUAAAAUAAAUAAAUAAAUAAAUAAAAAGAUUACUUUUCUAUAUAAAAGUCAAUUAAAAUAAUAAAAUUGAUUUACUUUCAAUAUUUAGUUGCAAUUAAUUAAGAUAAUUUUUUAUUUUGUCAUAAUUUAUGUUGAACCGAUAAAAUUUUGAGAGUUGAAUAGAACUUUUAUCUAUUUUUAAAAAAAGUAUUUUUACUUGUUAAUUAUUAUAAUUUAUAAUAAUUUGUACGUAUUUUAAAAUAAUAUAUUUACUCCUUGUGUCUCCAUUUAUAUGGUUUCAAUACAAUUUUGAGAAUCAACUAAAAUUUUUAUAUAUUUUUUAAAUAUUUUAAAUUGUUAAUUAUUAUAAUUUGCAGUAUUUUUUCUUUUAUCUCAAUUUAUGUGGCAUUGCUAAAAUAAUAAGAGUCAAUAAAUUUCUGUGUCUUUCAAAUAUUUUAAGUUAUUAAUUAUUGUGAUUCGUGAUGACAAAUUAGUUUUGAAUAUGAUAGCAAUUAAAUAAAUAAAAAAAAUUUACUUCUAAUAUGUAGUUAUAGUUAAUUAAUUUAAAUUUAAUAGAAUAUAUUAAAUACUUGAAUCAUUACGACGAAACAAUAAAAUUAUUAUAUAUUUAAGCAUGAUAUGUAAUUAAAUGAAAAUAAUUUUUUUUUGAUAAUUGCAUGAGAGGUGGUUGAAACCACCUCUUCUGCUGUAUAAUUGAAAUAUAAUGAUAAAAAUAGGUUGUGCGCACCUAAAAAAUGACCCUCACUUUCCACAAUUAUAUAUUCCGAGAAAAUUACAUAUAUAUCGUCUUUUGAUUUUAAUUUGUACAUAAUGCUCUGAUGUUUUUGCUUGUAUACCUUGCAAUCCAUUCUAUUUUACCAGUUCCAAAUUAAAAUUACACAAUUAUUAAGAAAAUCAUGAUCGAUAAAGUAGCUUUAUCAUUUAACCUCUCUUAAUUGUGUAUUGUUGUCAAUUUCAAUAUUAAUGGAUGACUAAUAUCAAAGCACUAUUUAUAUUCUUAAUAGUAUACUCUUUAUAACAUUUUUCAAGAAUAUUAAUAAUAAAAAGUAAUCAAUUAUACAAGGGAAUAAUGGUAAUCGACAUGCAAGCAAACUCUAAAAGAGGAGCCUGCAAUCCGGUCUGUUGAGCUUGAAUAUUAUGAAGUCAUCAUCGUGACACUUCUUCCACAAAUAAAUUAGAGUAAAAAGAAAAUUAGAAAACGUGUAAAAUUAAAAGAAAAAAAAAAGAAAUAAAAGAAAUUGCUUAAUCAAGUAAGAGCAGAUCAAGCUAUCAAACAUUAACUUAUACGUAAAUACCAUUGAUCACAUUUUGUAUUCCAUGCGAAAUUGGUUUUUAUGAAAAUGUUUCAUGUAAAACUGAACAAUGAAACUACAAAUCCUUGAUUUAUAUUAUAACUACAUAGUAAAAACUCAUAUCAAAACAUUAAAACUACAACUUGACAAAAGAUAAUUAACUAUUAGCGAUUAUUAAGGAAAAGCAAUUAAAAUUCAAUUAGUGGUAACUCACAACAAAUCUAUAGAAGGAUUUCCAGAUCACAAAUCCAUACCACAGAAAAUGCAAUCAUGAACCAGGAAUUUCAGAGAAGGUACAUGUUAAAGCUAAGCAAAAGCACUCAAAGAAAACAUUUUCAUAGGAAGCGAUUGAACUUCGAAAGGUAUGACACAAGCCACCAUAUCAUCAUCAGAACGAUAAUCAAUUUCAUUCACAACCAUAACUAGUUGUGUCCAAAGGUGUCCUAAGAUUGAUCUGUGUCAUCAUUUGACUUAUGGCAACCAAUAAACUAAGAAAAAUGUUGCAAAAAAAAAAAAAAAAAAAAUAUGUGCCACAAAUUAAAAACCAAAAGUAAAACUUGAAUUAAUAAACAGUAUGUGAUUCAGUUGCAACAUAAACAUAAUCACUAUUAUAAAAUCAGUCCAAGUGUUGGAAUUAAAAUAAUUGCUUCAUCAUCAUCACCAUUAGAACAAAAUAUAAAACGGCAGUUUCAUAAAUAGAAAAACAAGAAUAAAAGGUCAUUCAUCACCGAAAUCAGAAGAGGGAGCUUAGAUAUCCUCAUUAUGAUUUCAAUUUAAAAAACCACUAAAUAAGUUAGAAAAAUAAAUCAAAAGAAAAAAGAGUCACUCAGUUCAGCGGGGUAAUCGACACGCAAGCAAACUCUAAAAAUAGAGAAGCCUGCAAUCCGGUCUGUUGAGCUUGAAUAUUAUGGAGUCGUCACCGUGACCUUUUUUCCAUCAAAAAUCAAUUAGGGCAAGAAAAUGAAGAAAAAUUAAAAAGUAGAUCUGGGGGAGGAAUGAAAAUGCUCAGUGGUGGCUAGUUGUUAUUGGUUCGAUUCUGCCAGCAAGUUUCCUCAAUGUUACUCAGAAGAGGGAGCUUGGAAUCCUCAUUGCAAAAUCCACCUCCCCAAAAAUUGUUUACAAAAUCUAACAAAGAGAUUUAAAAAGCAUAUAUUAAAGAUGUAAAGAAGAGAUGGCUCAGGGAAGAAGGAGAUCGACAUGCAAAGACAGAAGCCCCUGACAAUCCGGUCUGUUUAGCUUGAUCUUUCAGAGUCCGCAUAGCCACUCUUCCUUCUACAUCAACUAAAAGUAUAAAUCAGAAAAUGCAAUAAAGAAAGGAAAAGGAAGAGGAGUUUGUUGCUGCUUUACUGUGUGAAUGGUGUGGGGGCGGUGACUAUUAAUUUAUAGAGGUACAACUAGGGUUUGUAGAUUUUUUUAAGAUGGAGAAGCUGGAACUUUUGUAGAUUUUUUUAAGAUGGAGAAGCUGGAACUCCUGGGCUGAAAAUUUGAGUCCAAUAACUAUUAAUGGAUCGAAUCUCCUUCAGAGGUUAGGUUUGCACGAGAUUUACUUUUGGAAAAUUAUUUAAAACUACAAUAUAAGUUUAUAUUAUUACAUACAAUUUUAAUUAUUAAAAAUAAUUAUAAAAAUCUCUUUUUAUUACUUUUUCUCUCCAAGUGUCAUAUACAUAUCUCAUCUAUCUUUUUCUUAUAUUUAAUGCUCCUCAAAGAGUGUCUACAAUCAAGGAACCUUAAUCAAGCGGUUUUUAAAUAUUGAAUUUACAAACGUGUUCUUCUCAAAUUACUCAAUAUCAACUUUUCAUAAAAAGAAAUCACAACCGCCGCAUCCCACUCAUCUCCGAUCGGCACACCCCACCAACCCCGUCUCUUUGCCUUCGUUGCAGCUCCAGUGAGGAGCUCCAACUCUGAAGAAUCGAAGUUAACCUCAACAGAUCAACAACCUAUCCGACCGGUGAAAUCUAAUAAAAUUCUAAAAGUUUCUCUCAUUCGAUGAGCUUUGAAAAUACUUCGAAGCAUAGUCAUAAAUAAAAUUAUGGAAAUGACCCAUAAGAUAAGAGGUUCAAUAUGUGAAACAAAGUAAUAUCCAUGUUUUAAUAACAAAAUACAAAAUAAAAAUUCAACACUGUCUAUGAAGCCUUUAACUUUAAGAAUAACUCCUAAGUAGGGACUGUGGACAAUGAAAUUUUAUGAAAUGCAAAUCCGUACAAAAUUCGGAUAAUAUUACAUUUAAAAUAUAUUAAUCCCAAAUAAAUAUUGUGGAUUAAUAUAAUUGGAUUAAUUAGUUAAAGUCCAAACGCAUAUGGAUGCAAACACCACCAACUAAAGAGGUACGAGUUUCUUCUGAGGGAAUGAUCCCAAUUGAGUAAUUGAAAGAAUUCAUCGAAGGGACCCUUAAAGACAAGUAUGCUGUUGUCACUAAGUCUUUCCUUGCGUAUGCCAAGACCUACACUGCAAGGAUAGCUAGCCUCAAAAUUCCUACAGGUUAUCAACCGCCCAAAUUUUAACAAUUUGAGGGCAAAGGGAACCCCGAACAACAUGUCGCACACUUUGUUGAGACAUGUAAUAAUGCUGGAACUUAUGGUGACUAUCUUGUCAUGUAGUUUGUUCGGUACUAAAGGGAAACACCUUUGAUUGGUAUACAGACCUUGAGCCUAACUCCAUCGAUAGUUGGGAGCAAUUGGAACAUGAGUUCCUGAAUCGCUUUUAUAGCAUGAGGCGUACAGUGAGCAUGGUAGAGCUCACAAAUACUUGACAAAAAAAGGAUGAGCCAAUCAUCGAAUUUAUCAAUCGAUGGAGAAAUAUGAGCCUAAAUUGCAGAGAUAGGCUCAGCGAAGCUUCUGCAAUAGAUAUGUGCGUCCAAGGAGUGCAUUGGGAGUUUCUCUAUAUCUUGCAAGGCAUCAAACCAAAGUCCUAUGAUGAGUUAUCUACUCGUGCUCACGACAUGGAGUUGAGCAUGUCUUCUGCUGGAAAGGGAGAAACACCUAUCCCUGACCCUCGAAGGGGAAAGAAUAAGAAGGAACCCAAAAGAUGGGGCAAGUUUGUCCCCAAAAAUGACAAUAAGGAGUCUAUGAAUAUUGAUGUGUCUCUUGUGAAGGUCAUCACAAAGGUGAGCAAGAAGCAAAGUGUGAAGACGACUUCUGGAGCACGUCCAAAUUAAAAAACUUUAAAGGAGAUGCAAGAAAAGAAAUAUCCCUUCUUUGAUUUUAAUGUUGACGAGAAUUUUUAUGAACUCCCUGAUGAAGAUGCAAUGGUUGUGGAAGUUAGAUCCCCAUGGAAGAUGUACUUUGAUGGUGCUGCAUAUCGAGAUGGAGCUGGUGCUGGCGUAGUAUUUGUCACCCACAAGAAGGGGGCAUCCCUUACUUUUUUACCUUAACGAAUUGUUGCUUCAAUAAUGUUGCUGAGUAUUAAGUGCUCAUACUCAGACUAGAGAUGGUUGUUGACAUGAAACAACUAUAAUUAUAAGUUUUUGGUGACUCCCAAUUGGUAUAAAGCCGCUGUUGGGAAGAUAUGAAGUUCGAAAGCCUGAGUUAAGACCAUAUCAUGAUCAUACACAGAAGUUGAUGGGAUGGCUUAGAGAAGUAACCCUCUAACAUAUGCCAAGGAAAGAAAAGAAGAAAGUUGAUGACCUAGCUACUUUGGCUUCAACUCUAACUCUUCUGAAUUAGACACGAGUUACUCUUUGCCAAGAAUGGGUACUACUGCCAUCAAAUGAAGAUGAAGACGUAAAAGGUAAGGUUGAAUACCUCGUCGCCAUGUCUGAAGCUGUAAAGGAGGAUUGACGACAACCUAUCAUUGACUACUUGUGUUAUGGGAUACUUCCAGAAGAUCCAAGGAGAAAGACUGACAUUCGUCGUCGUGCACCUCGCUUUCUUUAUUACAAAGACACACUUUAGAUAAGAUCAUUUGAAAAAGUACUCUUACGGUGUUUGUGAUACGAGAAUAAUAGCCACCUUAGCUUUUGACGACAUCAUUCAAAGUCACUAUGUGAAGAAUCAAGCUUUAGUUGCAUGGAGGGCACGGGAUCAUACUUGGAGGGGAUGUUUUGAGCUUACCAUUAAUCAAACUCGAGUGUCGAAGAUUGCUUAGAGACUUGAAGACUUAAGUACUCUCAGGUUUGGACAACCUUGUUGGUUCAUGAUUUUGGUUCCCUUGAUUGAAGGAUAUUUUGGUCACUUAUCUUUGUCUAAGUGACACUCGAUGACCAUCCUUCCUCAUUAAGGGCAUUAGAGUCAUUUUGUGUUUAUUUUGUAAUAGAUUAUAAAUAGGCUCCUUUAGUCUUAUUUUCAUUAGUUUAUGAAAGAUGAAAGAUUGAAACAUUAAAAAUCAUCUCUCUUGAGAGUAGAACACUUAGUCUUAGUUAGGCUUGGAAAAACUAGUAUUAAUCUUUGCUUGGAAAUGGUGGAUCUUGAGGUGAGUUGAUUCCCUUGGAGAUCACCGUAAUAGUGUGGUUUUGAUUAUUACAUUCAUUAGGGGUUUUGAGUUUAAUACACUCUUUAGUUCUUAAUCUUGCAAUAAUCUUGGUCUCGCUAUCUAUCAUUUACUUUUGUUGUUGUCAUCUUGUGUAGUGGACUAUUUUGGGUCCUUUAUUGAAUCUAAAACUUGUGUUAUUGUUAUUCAUCUUGUUCCUCAUGUUUUGUAGCUAUUUUUGGUGUUAUAUACACCAUUGUAUCUUGUAUUCUUCUUGUUGAUAGCGAAUCCGAGAGUGGUCUACAUCUUGGUCCUCGGAUCCUUAAGAUUGCGGGCUGAUUUGGAGUGUGUUUCAUGCUUCCAUUGUCUUUAUCGUAUCAUUUGGUAUCAAAGCAUGGCCUGAUCUUGUUCCUACAAGAUCAAUCUUGGGCUUGCUUGUUAGAAAAUUCCAAAAAAAAGUGUUAAAAACUGAAAAUUCUAGAAAAAUAGCAAUCUGUCCGUGUUUGUGUUCUUGGCCAAAAUUGUGUUCUUAUUGUGUCUUGGUCGAGAUUUGUUUAUUGUGUGACUAGAUCUAGCAGUGUUCUUAUUUUUUUUUUUUGUUAUUUCUAGUGUUAGUUUUCUUGUUCAAUAACACUUUUAGUCUAGAUCUAAACUUGAGCUUGAACUUGUUGAAAGUUAUUGUUGUGAAAAUAAACUUGGCCCAUGGUUGUUGUUCUUGUUGUUAUGGAUUUGAAGUUUGCAGUGUAGACGUUGUUGUAAUUCUUGGUGAAUGCUGUUGUUGUUAUUGAAUUUCUUCACAACCUUCUUCUCUUGUUAAAACCGAAGACACAACACUAAAGAGACUUGGUCGUUUGUUGUUGUGGAUUGGAGUUGGCUGUUUGAAUUGUUGUUGUUCUUGAAAAUUGUUGUUAUUGUUUUUGGUGUGGUUGAUGUUAUUCUUGAAGUUCUUCACCUUCCUUCAUAUAUUGUUAGAACAUAAAGUGAAUGCUAGAUCCUAAAAGGUGAAGGAAAAAGGUGUAUGUACUUGUUAGUCUUGAAAGAUCCCCAACCACCAAAAGACUUAUAUCACUUCUCAACCACUUUUCCAUGAUUUGACCUAUGUUUUAAGGAGAAGUACAAGAAAAAUUCAAGUGUUGAAAAUUGAAAAAGGCUCCAAGACUUAUUUUGCCUCCUAAAUAAAUUCCACCAAUCCAAAUUAAUUUUUUACCAAGACUUGAACAUUUGAGAAUAAACACUUGAUAAAACCGAACCAAUACGUGGCUGCCACAUCAUCACUGCUACUGUUCAAGCAAUAUUAUUGAGCUUAAAAUUUUAUAUUCUUAGUUUUAUUUUAUUGUUUCAUUAGUUUCAUGUCUUGAUUAUAGAAUUAAUUAACAACUAGUAAUCACCUACGUAGUUGUAGAUUAAUUAUUGAAUCUGUUCUUUCGUGUCUUCGUUAUUUGUGUGCUUUUCUCAUUUUUUAACUCUUAGUAACUUCUUUGUUUCAAGUUCGUAAGUAAAAAUUUUUUUUUAGUCUUGAUUCGAUCAAACGAGAAUCUAUUCAGGACGCCUUGUAGAAUUGACAUCUUAUUGACUACCGGAGUAUAAGCAACUUUCAAUAUUUGCUGCUCCAAUUGUGAGGAUCAUAAAAGUGAGUGAAUACGAGUUAUAGUGAGAAAGUUUUACUACUAAUUUUGUUUGUUCAUUGUGUAGGUACAAAGAUGAUAUAAGGGAAACAUGUCUUCGAUAGCGGGGAUUAUUAUGACUACAACAUGGGAAACUAUGGUUGUAGUGAGGAUUUUUAUAGCUAUAAAGUUGAGGGAAAUUGUGGAGGAAACUUGGGCAAAUUUGAAAGUUACUGUUUUGAGGGAGAAAAUAAGGUGAAUGAAGUGCUUAGUGCUUAUGGUGACUUUGGAGAUGAUGUAGGACCUCGUGAUGGAUCUUAUGAUGACGUUAGGAAAUGUGAGGAGUCUUACACUUCUCACUCCAAACUUAGGUUUGGUGUUAGGUGUAACCCUUUUAUUUGCAAAGCUUAUAAGAGUUAUGAUGAGAGUACACAUGAGGAGUGUGAAGAUUCAUAUUCUCCAUCUUGUAGUACUUUUUAUCAAGAUCGAUAUAGUGUGAAUGGUUAUACUAGCUCUAGUGGAGGUUUGUUCAAUGAGAAGAAGAGGGUAUGCAUCUCCAAAAUCGAGGGGUGCUCGUGUCCUUUACAAUAUUGAUCCAAGAAGGAGUGUACACUCCGGACCAUUUGUGGGAAACCGGGCUGCCUCAUUGUGUUAAAUGAUAGGUACUAUAGAAACUACAUCGUUCCAUCCACGGUUGACUACUUGGGGUUGUUUUGCGAGCCUUUACUUGUUCCAUACUUCUUGGAUGGGUUUAAGGUUACCGAGAGGGUCAAAGUUGUCUUCUCCCAAUUUGAGUAUCAUGAGAAGGUGUGGUAUGAUGUUCUUCCAUUUACAUAUGGUCAUGUAUACUUAGGUGCCGAUUGGUUUGCACAACAUAGAGUUCCAAAUGUGCAAAAUUGGCCUAAUGAUGUAAGAGAUCGGUGGGGAAAUCACCUCAUGACAUAUAUGUUAUCCGAGCUGCAAAGAGAAGUGAAUACUUACUCCAAUCCGAAUGCUUAUGAGGGACAAAAUAUUGAGAGGAAUAAGGGUGUUCAAGGUGGUAAUUCAAGAGUGGGAGCGAAGCGAGGGGAUUGGCACCAAACCGAGCUAACAUUGUUUAUCCUUCUAUUUCUAAGGACGUUUGUGUAGGUACCGACAUGGAAAGUGAUGGAGAGAAAUGCCAAAGUGAAGUCGCUGCCCAAGCUUAUGGAGGACCUUUACAACACGGCAAAGGAGAGUCGACUCAAGAACUUCAUGGUAAAAUAGCUAACUAUUACAGUUUUGUGCAUGUGAAUGAUAAUUGUGUGGCUAGUAGCCCCUUGAGUGUGAGUAGUAGCUUACUUACUUGUGAGUCUAAUAAUUCUUUGGUUUUUGUUAAUGAUGUACAUGUUAUGAGUAUAAAUACACUAGUUGAUCCUAUUGAUGACCAAAUUGACUCUUCUUGUAAGAUCAAUUUAUGUCCACCUAGUGUUGAAGCCUAUAUAUUGAACGGAAGUACAUCGUCUUGUAUAAUUGGUAUUGAUCAACCUAGUUAUGAAAAUUGUCCACCACUUGAGUAUCUGUGUGAUGUGAUUAAUCAAAAUCAAGUGAGUGAAGUAUUUGAAAAAGUUGGUCAACAAAAGGGGAGUGAACCCGAGAGCUACUCCUGGGAUAAUCUUGUACUUGAAAUCUCUUUAAAAAGUAAUAUUAAGCUUUUAGAGAAUGCUGAAUGUGUUUGUUCUGAAUCUUCCCGUGAAAUAGAUCAUGCUCUCUUUAGGUAUAAUGUCUUAUUUGAAGAUGAUAUAAACACUCCUAAUGAGCCUAGUGGUGAAAAUGAAGGUAUAGCUUGCCUUGGAAGCUAUAGUCGAUAUGCUAACCCACUAUGGUGUGACAACAUUCCUCCUAAAGAUGGAAAUCUCUUUUUGAAAGACAAGAGUACUCUUAUAGGCAAGGAAUGUGUAGUCCUUCUUGAAAACCCGAGGGCAAAGGUGUCAUUGACUCCUUGGAGUAAUGUUCCUAAAUGUGCAUCCUUGUUUGACAAACCUGUUCCUAAAUUGCAUGAAUUCCAACUUAUAGAUGCCAAGUUGUCUAGUUGUUUGAAGGAAAGAAUGUUUAUAUGUUUAAAUACUUAUUCUUCACCCGUGAAUUCCUUUGCAUGUGAUUCUUUCCUGUACUACCUCUUUGCCUAUGAUACGCGAAGGAUGAUACGUGAAUAAUAGCCACCUUAGCUUUCGACGACAUCAUUCAAAGUCACUAUGUAAAGAAUCAAGCUUUGGUCACUUGGAGGGCACAUGAUCAUACUUGGAGGGGACGUUUUGAGCUUACCAUUAAUCAAACCCGAGUGUGGAAGAUUUCUUGGAGACUUGAAGACUUAAUUACUCUCGGGUUUGGACCACUUUGUUGGUUCACCGUUUUGAUUCCCUUGAUUGAAGGGCAUUUUGGUCACUUAUCUUUGUCCAAGUGACACUCCAUGACCAUCCUUCCUCAUUAAGGGCAUUAGAGACAUUUUGUGUUCAUUUUGUAAUAGAUUAUAAAUAGGCUCUUUUAGUCUUAUUUUUAUUAGUUUAUGAAAGAUGAAAGAUUAAAACAUUAAAAAUCUUCUCUCUUGAGAGUAGAACACUUAGUCUUAGUUAGGGCUUGGAAAAGCUAGUAUUGAUCUUUGCUUGGAAGCAAUGGAUCUUGAGGUGAGUUGAUUCCCUUGGCGAUCACCGUAAUAGUGUGGUUUUGAUUAUUACAUUCAUUAGGGGUUUUUGAGUUUAAUACACUCUUUAGUUCUUAAUCUUGUAAUAAUCUUGGUCUCACUAUCUAUCCUUUACUUUUGUUGCUGUCAUCUGUUGCAGUGGACUAUUUUGGGUCUGUUAUUGAAUCCGAAACUUAUGUUAUUGUUAUUCAUCUUGUUCCUCAUGUUUUGUAGCUGUUUUGGUGUUAUAUACACCAUUGUAUCUUGUAUUCUUCUUGUUGAUAGCGAAUCUGAGAGUCGUCUCCAUCUUGGUCCUUGGAUCCUUAAGAUUGCAGACUAAUUUAGAGUGUGUUUCGUGCUUCCACUGUCUUUUUCGUAUCAUUUUGGGAGAGGAAGAAACAAUUCAAGCUUUGCAAGAAGCGCAAUCGGGAGUUUAUGGAUCACAUCAGUCUGGACCUAAGCUCAAUUUUCACAUUAAAAGGAUGAGAUAUUAUUGGCCAACAAUGGUGAAAAAUUUCUUGGACUAUGCUAGAAGAUGCAAAGCUUGCCAAUUCCAUGCAAAUUUCAUACAUCAACCUCUAGAGGUGCUACACCCAACUAUAGCAUCUUGGCCAUUCAAUGCAUGGGUAAUUGAUGUUAUUGGUCCACUACCAAAAUCUUCUGGUGGACACUUAUACAUAUUGGUCGCGACAGAUUACUUCUCAAAAUGGGCUGAAGCUGUUGCUCUCAAGGAAGUAAAGAAACAAAAUGUCGUAAACUUUAUCCGAGUGAAUAUCAUCUACCGCUUUGGAAUUUCUCAGUACAUAAUAACUGGCAAUGGAAAUACAUUUGAUAACAAGUUAAUGAACAAAAUCUAUAAUCUUUUUGGUUUCAAGUUGCUCAAGUCUUCUAUGUACCAUGCUGCCGCCAAUGGUUUAGCCGAAGCAAUCAAUAAGACUUUAUGCAACUUGUUGAAGAAAGUCGUCUCCAAAUCCAAAAGAGGUUGGCAUAAGCAAAUAGAAGAAGCUUGCUUUUGGAGUUGAAUCAGUCCUGCCACUUGAGCGUCAAAUACCUUCUUUGAGACUGGCUGUUCAAGAAGGGCUCACCGAUGAAGAAAAUGCUAAGUUGCAUCUUGCAGAGUUAGAAGCUCUUGAUGAAAAGAGGCUGGAGGCUCAACAAAAUCUUGAAUGUUAUCAAGCCCGGCUAUCUCGUUCUUUUAACAAAAAGGAUCGCUUGAGGUGCUUCCAAGUUGGAGAUCAAGUCCUUGCAGUAAGAAGACCCAUUAUCACUUCUCGUAAGUCUGGGGGCAAAUUCACUCCAAAGUGGAAUGGACCAUACGUCGUACAAGAGACAUAUUCAAAUGGUGCUUACAAGCUUGUUGAUGCAGAUGGCGUGAGGAUUGGUCCCAUCAAUGCCAAGUUCUUGAAGAAAUACUAUCCUUGAAGGAAGAUGACACUCCUUAAGGUACGAGUAUAAACUGCAUGUCUACUCCUGGCCCGCAAGAGUAUAAACUGUGAGCGACUCAAAAAAAUGUCCGCUAGGUUGAAAAUCUCGAAAGAGGUGGCCUAGGUAAAAGUUAGGUCACAAAAAUAAAAUAAAAAAAAACACUCACCCCAGAACUACGUUGUGACUUGAUCCUCUUUAUUGAGGUACGUAGGGGCUUGGAAUUUUAUUCUGAGUUCAGUUGCAUGGGUGUAAAAAAAAUACAUGUUCCCCCUCAUAUAAAAAAUUCAAUCUUCAAAAGACUUUUAACAUCAUCAAUCUUCAGACUUGCACCAAGUGUUGGUGACUCAAUGGGGGCAGAUCCCUAUGAAGUAUAAGAUCUUUGGACAUAAGUUGAAGUCUUUAAAUUCUCUAAGCCUUCAUGUUAGAGCUUCCAAGUUAACAUAGUGGAGCCUGCAAGUUCACAAAGUCUGAUAGUUGAAGUCUUCAAAUGACCUAUGCAUAUAAGUUGAAGUCGUCAAAUUCAUUAAGUCUUCAUGUUGGAUCUUUCAAGUUACCAUAUUGGAGCCUGCAAGUUCACGAAGUCUGAUAGUUGAAGUCUUUGAAUGACCUAUGCAUAUAAGUUAAAGUCUUCAAAUUCACUAAGUCUUCAUGUUGGAGCUUUCAAGUUACCAUAUUGGAUCCUGCAAGUUCACAAAGUCUGAUAGUUGAAGUCUUUAAAUGACCUAUGCAUAUAAGUUGAAGUUUUCACAUUGGAGAUUUCAAGUUACCGUAUUGGAGCCUGCAAGCUCACGAAGUCUGAUAGUUGAAGUCUUUAAAUGACCUAUGCAUAUAAGUUGAAGUCUUCAAAUUCACUAAGUCUUUAUGUUGGAGAUUUCAACUUCACCAUAUUAAAACCUACAAGUUCACAAAGUCUAUAAGUUGAAGUCUUCAAGUCUGCUAUAUUGAAGCUUUCAGAGUUUGAAAGUUGGAGUCAUCAGGUGCUUUGAUCUAUAAGUUGAAGUCUUUAAAUCCUUCUAACCUUCUUGAGUUUACCUUUCAAUCUUCAUGAAAUUACCUUUUUUUCUUAUGGCGGGAACGAGUAGUCAUCCCGAUGCGCCAUAAGAUUAUCUUGAAAUUACUUUUUUCUUAUGGCGGGGACGAGUGGUCAUACCGUUGUGUCGUGAGAUUACCAUAAAGUUACCUAUUACCUUUUCUUAUGGCAGGGACGAGUGGUCAUCCCGUUGCACCAUAAGAUUACCAUAAAGUUACCUUUUACCUUUUCUUAUGGCGGGGAUGAGUUUUCAUCCCGAUGCGCCAUAAGAUUACCCUGAAAUUACCCUUUUCUUAUGGCGGGGAUGAAUGACCAUCUCUUCAUGCCAUAAGACUACCAUGAAGUUACCUUUUACCUUUGCCAUAAGACUACCAUGAAACUACCUUUUACCUUUACCAUAAGACUACCAUGAAGUUACCCUUUACCUUUGCCAUAAGAUUACCAUGAAGUUACCUUUCUUAUUGCGGGGACGAGUAGCCAUCCCUAUGUGGCGUAAGAUUACCAUAAAGUUACCUUUUCUUAUGGCGGAGAUGAAUAGCCGUCCCUAUGCGCCGUAAGAUUACCUUCUAGGAUUACCUUACUUAUGGUAGGAAAGGAUAUCUAUCCCUUUACAUCAUUAGACUAUAUCCUUUACAUAAAAGGAGUUAUCUUGAGCAAAAUCUUGUAGUUUACCUAAAAAAAAGAAGCAGAAAGAAAAAGGGGAACGAAAAAAAGAAGAAGGAAUGCUUACCUAAAUAUGGCAAGUAUCUCGAUCGGCAAAGAUGGAUCAAAUUACACCCUUAAGUUUGCUCUCCUACCAAAAGUGUUGUAAAUAUUAGAGUUCUCUUUCCAACGAAAAAAGGACACUCACAAUUUCAACACUCCCACGCCUAGAUAUGAUUUGUCUUGUGAAGCCACGCAAAUCUGAAAUUGAAAAUGUAUCAGCAGGCAGAGGCAACUUCAAAAUAUUAUCUAGGAUAAUUCUGAAGGUUUUAAAUCAUUGGUUUUUGAUAUGUUAUAUAUUUUCGAGUCUAGUUUUGAAAAAAUCAAGCGGUUCAUAAUUUCAUCGCUCCUACUUUGAGAUAUGAAAGUUUUAGUGAAGACGCACAGAUCAGAAAUUUUCAGCAUGGCAAAAUUUAAAGUCAACUUCAAAAUUUUGUCUAAAAUAAUUCUGAAGGUAUUAAAUCAUGAAUUUAGGAUAUGUUAUAUAUAUUUGAGUCUAGAUUCAUAAAAAAUCAAGCACCUUAUGAUUUCAUCAUUCCUACAUUGAGAUAUGAAGAUUUUAACAGACGUGCGCAGAUCUGAAAUUUUCAGCAUGAUAAAAUUCAGGGCUAACUUCAAAAAAUUAUCAAAAAUAAUAUUGAAGGAUUUUAAAUCUUAAUUUUGGAUAUGUUUUAGAUCUUGAAGUCUAGUUUUUGUAACAUCAAAUGGAUUAUGAUUUUAAUAUUUCUACAAUGAGAUAUGAAUUUUCUACCACUAACAUGUUGUGCUGGAAAAAAGUGACGAAAAUAAGAGAAAUGUGGGAGCAAAAGAAAUUACCUCAAUAUUAUUGAUGACUUGGAAAUCCCAAAAUUGAUAUUGAAAAAGUGGGGAGACUACCUCCUUUUAUAGAGUUGUAGGAUGAUGUUUCCUUCUCCAAUAUAAAUUCAGAUUGGAAUAAUUUUCAUCUCCAAAUUCAAAUUGGAGAUUGUUUCCUUCUCCACUAUAAAUUUAGAUUGAAAUAAUUUCCAUCUUCAAAUUCUAAUUGGAGAUUGUUUCCUUCUCCAAUAUAAAUCCGGAUUGGAAUAACUUCCAUCUCCAAAUUCAAAUUGGAGAUUGUUUCCUUCUCCAAUGUAAAUUCAGAUUGGAAUAGCUUCCAUCUCCAAAUUCAAAUUGGAAAUUAUUUCCUUCUCCCAUACAAAUUCAAAUUGGAGGUUCUUUGUUUCUCCAAUCUAAGUUCAAAUCGGAAGGUUUUAUUACUGAUUAAGUAAGGUGAUGAAAAAGUUUUCCAAAAUUUAUUUGAAAUUGGAUAUCAUGCCUCACCAAUGGGUCUUAAGUGCAGAGAUUCAUGAAACAAAAAUGAGAAAGUUUUGAGAGGCAAUAUCAAUAUGGUUCGACUUUAAAUUUUUGAAUGAGGUAUUCAUAUGUAUGAGGAUUGUUGAAACACGAAGAAAAUAUUCUUAAAUAAUCAUACUUUAAGGCUAGUCUCCAAAAUAUUAAAUGUCUCGACAAGUCUUGAAGUAGGGGGGCAUUCUGUGGACAAUGAAAUUUUAUGAAAUGCAAAUCCGUACAAAAUUUGGAUAAUAUUACAUUUAAAAUAUAUUAAUCCCAAAUAAAUAUUGUGGAUUAAUUAGUUAAAGUCCAAACACAUAUGGAUUUAAUUAAAGUCCAAACCUUAAUCGGGCUAACACAUAAAUUUCGGCUACAAAUGACUAAGCCUACUUUAGCAAGCCUAAGCUGUCAUCAUGUUCUAGAGGCCCAAUUUGGUGCCACAUGUCAAAUGAUGUGGCAUGUCAAGUCAAGUGAAGGAGUCAAUAGGACCAUGCCAUGUGUCAAAAUAAUGCAAUAAAUUAAAAGCCCAUAAGAAAUGCCAUGUCACUUAAAUCUGAUUGGUCAAAAAAAGUUCAUGUUUAUCAUGACUCUUUACUCCCUACAACUAUAAAUAUGGGCCUCAUAAUUUAGAAAAGGGACUAACAUGUUUAACAAGAAGCAAGAAAGAGCUCGUGGAUCAAAGCAAGAAUUUCUCUACAAAUUCAAGAACAAGCUCAAGAUUUCAAGAUCAAGAGUUCAAGGUUCAAGAACAAGCUCAAGAUUUCAAUAUCAAGAGUUCAAGGUUCAAGAACAAGCUCAAGAUUGCAAGAUCAAGAGUUCAAGAUUCAAGAACAAACUCAAUGGCCCUUGAAUUCAUGUACAAGUCGAGAUCAAGUUCAUCAAGUCUUCAAAUCAAGUUCAAGUUCAAGAUCAAGACCAUAAGAUUCAAGAACAAGCUACCAAGUCCUUGAAUUCAAGCACAAGUCAAUAUAAAAUCCGUCAAGUUCAAGUUAAAGUUCAAGAUCAAGUUCCAAGUCCUUGAAUUUAUAGUUUGAAAAGGCAAAUCAGAGGAAUCAUAGAGAUUGUAACACUCACUUAUUGAAAUUAAUAAAUCGAUUGUUGCAGUAUCUUUUCUUAUCUCGAUUAUUAUUUUGGUCUCGAGAAUUUUACUGUCCAACAAGGACAUAGCUUCGACAAUACCAUAAAACUAAAAAAUAUGAGUGUAGAUACUUAUAAGAAAGGUACAAAUGUCUUUUGAAGGAUGGAGGGCUCACUAUUCCUCACCAGCAGUCUAAUAAUAUAACAAACCAUCUAAUGCUACACAGGGCUACAAGAAAAGGCCUCCGAUCCAACAUCAUGAAAUGAUGCUGCAUCCAACGACAGUCAGUACGACGAGUACUAGCAUGCAACCCAAGGAAAGAGACAAAAUAUACAUAUGCCAAAAACAGUUGUAAAACACAUGAUCAUACCCUAUAAUAGUAAUAAUAAUAUAAGGGGCAAGGGAUAGGGAACUAACAGAUAUGACAAUUUAAAAUUUAAUACUGAACUAUGUAGCUUUCGCCGACAUCUAGUAAUCACGAGCUCUAUUGAUCCGGUACUCCUCAACUGAUGAGGCCUUAGUCCACAUUGACCGCAUGUACUGAGGUUAGGCAAAGUCAUCAAUAGAUUAGAGCCACCAUACAUAUUAUCUUUAUGUUAUGGACUAUCAUCAUGUUAAGGACACCAUUUCUUUGCCCAAUUAAGGUAUGACAUCCCUAUGCUGACAAACAUAGGUUUCAAGCGUUGGUCAUUAGAACAUACACCUUUACGGUAAAGCGAUAUAAUUCCCUUUAGAGCCUAAUUAAAAAUAUUUUUCACACCAUUAACUAUUGAAUCUUUCAGUAAGGCAUUCUCAUAUUGGUAUCAUAAUAUCAAGACUUUAAAGCUAUUCAUAUUAUGCCAUAUCAUUUUCAUAAAAUAUUUUGACUCUAAUUUCCAUCUUAAAAAUUCAUAAACAUAACCUCCAAGGGCUUUCAAAAGCAUCAUUUAAACCUUUUUACCAUGUAUUAUUCAUAAAAAGAAGUAAAAAUUAUAAUUUUCAUAAAACAUCAAGUUUUGAAAGGGGUUGAUGGCCAUACUUUUAUCACGCAAAAUUUGUGAAAAAUUGUGAAUCCAUAUUAACAAUUUCAUCAUUUUCAUGUAACACAUUUAAAUUUCAAGACCUGUUAUUUAUGCAUAGAAAAACAUAAAUAAAGAGAAAACUCAAUAUAAUGCUUUCACAGCAAAACCCCUCAACCCUAGUCACUACUAAAAAAUGACAAAAAGAGACGGCCAAUGUCUCUUUUUUGGACAAAAGCGAUGGAAAUUCGUCAGUUUUUUUUUUGCAUCUUAAAAAGGAGCGUUGUUUUUUGAAAACGACAGCCUACAUUGCUUUUUUUACAAUGAACAACGCCGCUUUAGGAAUUUUUUUUUAGUUAUUCUUACAAAAAGCGACGUUGUGCGUCGUUUUAUGUUCUUCAAAUGAAGAACACUUGAUUAACAAAAAACGACGGACAUCAUCACUUUAUUGAAAAAAUAUUUUUUUUUCAAGAAAAUUGACACCGUCCGUCGUAAUUUGAGAAAAAUAAAAUAUAUUUUUUUAGAAAAAGCGACGUUGGUCGUCGCUUUCUGUUCUUUAUAAGGGUUAAAAAAAUGAUGUUAAUCGUCACUUUUUGUUCUUCAUAAUGAAUAAAAAGCGACGUUGGUCAUCAUUUUUUGUUCUUCAUAAUGAAUAAAUAGCGACGUUGGUCGUCACUUUUUGUUCUUCGCAAUGAAUAAAAAUGCGAUGUUGGUCGUCGCUUUUUAGUUUUCAUAAUGAAUAAAAAAGCAACGGCCAUCGUCGCUUUUCUGCAUUUUUUUUGGAUGCAGAUAUCUGCAUUUUCUACAUCCCACCUGCCAAAUAAAAAUGCAAUUCAAUAUAUACAUCCUCAUACAACACAGAUUAUUACAAUAAUAAUAUAACACACUACAUCAACAAAUUAUUUAAGAAAUUCAAAUCAAUAACACUUAAACAAUGAAUCCAACAUCAUUCAAAAUAAUUAAACACUCCUAAAGAUUUUUCACUAAUUAAAAGCUAAGAUAAAAAAUAUCUAAAAAUUAUCUAAAAGUCAAGUCCAAAAAUACUAAGGAGUAGCCCCAACAAACUCCUCAUCACUCUCUAUUUCCUCUUCGCUACUUGAAUCAAGAGCAACGGCCUGUGUCAAGGCACGUCUAAGAUGUGCAAUCUGAUGUGACAUAGCAACAUGUCUCUAAAAAAAUGUAAAAAUGACCUGAUUGUGCGUUGGCAACCAACAACACAUUGUUUGAAAAUCAGUUAACUAGUGUCACACCCCUUUUUAACUCCAAAAGAUUGAUUUUAAGUUUGAAAGGGUUUUUAUUAUCAAAGUGACAAAUGGUUUAAAAUUUAUUUCGAAAAGGAAUUAUUUACAUUUUUUAUUUAGAGUCGACACUUGACAUGAACUCGGUGUACCAAGUCACCUUUGAAAAUCCUUUUUAAAACUGUUUGACUCUUUAAACUGAUUUACAAACAGAGAUUUCGGUUAAGGAAUUCUGUUGACCGAGGAAAAGGUGUUAGGCACCCCUCGAUCCCGUGGUUCGACCACGGUCGCUUGAUGGAAUGUAUCGGCUAAUUUGACACUAUGAAUGUAUAAACCACACCAAACACACACAAACAACCGAAAAAACAACAAACAAAGUGAAUCCCAAAAAUAUUAUUUCCCGUCCAAUUAUACAGUCCCAGAAUAAAAAAUAUGAAAAUGUAAACCUACUCUAACCUACACUAAUCCUAAACUACGCUCCAAUGCUUUACCUGAUGCCUCGGGCCUUCGUCACGGACGCCUCCGAGUAGAAAAUACUUUGGGACAUUCCCCAAUGAAUAUAUACAUAUGACUUUGGGGCAUUCUCUGACAAAUAAAUACAUUGAUAGAAAUGCGGUAAACAAAACCAUCCAAUAAAUAUUUCAAACAUUCCACAAUCCACAAGUCCUAAAUAUUCCUACCUAACCUAGUAUUUGCCUAUCCAUCCGAUGGCCUAAUCAUGAUACUACAACGUUUAACAUCCGUGUUUGUUCCAAAAUAACCAACCCCAAUAAAUCAAGAUUCAUCAAUAUUCAUUUUUAUCAACUCCUAACAUCCGAACCCAAAUUACAUUUUUUAUCCAGAACUACCACAUAAGACAAUUAUCAACACGUUAACACCAAACUUGUAUCAUAAUCAAUGGUUCGACAUCAAACAUUCACCAAAACACACAAUCACAUCAACAAACACAUAAUCAUAAUAUCAAUCCAAUAAAUCAAGAUAAAAUGGAGAGAUAGAGUUAAAUAAAUGGACCUUUCGAUAAUUAAUUUUAGUUGAUAAUAAUGAGAAAGAAAAUCCGAACUCAAAAUCCUCGAACGGAGAGCCUCAACAACAAACAAAUCUAAUCGGUGUCAAGAAUCCACACCCAAAUUUUGUUUCAAACAUAACUAAGUGUAGAAUAUGAGCAAACCAAAAUAAAGACACCCAAAUCCAUACAAAAUAUUUACAUCAACCUAAAUUCGGACGAAUUUUGGGGUGAAAACGGGAUUGGUGAGCCGUCUAAUCUUGUCAGAACAUCAAUGGCCUGUGCGGGUGGUGUUUAUCAGUGGAGAAUACAGUGAAUUUAUGGUGAGAAACUCACUGGUAACCGUCAAACCCAUCCACUUUUCUCCCUCCCUCCAUUCACUCUCUCUCUAUUUAUGCUCUAUUUCUCUCUCAAUUCACACUAUAUCUCUCUCAAUUUCUAUCUUUCUUAUGUAUGUUCCUUCCGUGUGUGUGAGUUUUUAUGUGUGAGAGUCUCUUGAUGGGGAGCUGUGUGUGCUGAUGAAAAAAAAUUAAAAAAUAGAGGAGCUCUCCUUUUUCCAUGAGUUGUGUCCCCUAUGUUUUUCCCCUUCUUCCUUUUUAAUUCUCUAUGUGUGCAUUGUUAUUAUCUAUUUGUCAAAGAAGAAAGAAAGAAAUUUAAUAUAGUUAUUGUUGUUGGAAGUGGGUUUGUCAGGUAGUGAGUGGGAUAAUGUAGGGGUAGAGGAUAGGUAGGGGGUAGGGUAUGUAAAUGAGUAAAAAUAUUUUUGGGAGAGACAAUAUUAUGUGUCUACAUCAUGUUUCCUUUGAAUAUAAAUACAAAGUGUUUUCAGACAAAGAAGUAGAUAAUGAGAUAGAAUUUUAUCCCGAGCACUAUUUAAAUGAAAGAAACAAAAGGGGAGAGGAAAUCGAGUCUUGAUUUUGGGCAUUCUACCUGUCUCAAGUUAUGUGAGAGUCAGGUCACAAGUAUCUCAAAGGAUUAGAAAGAGGAGGACUAUACCGAAUUGGAGAGUUGAGCGAGGUCCUAUCAAGUUUUAGCUCCACAACUCUGCUAUUACAUCAAAAUAAACAUUACAAGUUAAAAAGUUAAUUGAAAUUACAAAAGUCCUAUUUAUGCAACUUUUUUUGGACUCUUGACUUAAGUUUCUGAUUCUUUUAAAAUGUACAAAAGAUCUGAUCAUUCUUUGGGUUGAACUUGAGAAUAGAUACUUUCUCUAUAAGAACUUUGAUGUUUGGAUAUGAACUCACAAAUUGACCAUGUUCUGUCGGUGGUACUUCUGAACCUUGAUCCUGAAUUUGAAAAUCACCACCCUAUUCUUAAGGCGGGCUCUUGACUUACAAUUUCUUUACCUUGUUUCUUGACUUUCAAUCUCUUAACCUUAUUGCUUAACUUUCGAUUUCUUCACCUUGUUCUUUAGGCGGGCUCCUGACUUUCAAUUUCAUCACCCUAUUCUUCAGGCGGGCUCCUGACUUUCAAUUUUAUCACCCUAUUCUCCAGGCGGGCUCUUGAAAUCAAUGUCGAAACUAAAACAAAAAUUAUCCCAAACAAAGAUUAUGAUUAACAAAGAUUCCAUUUUUUUUUUCAAAAUAAAGUCCCAUUUUUCAGGAGGGUCUUGAACAUAGAGUAAAUUUUCAUCUUUCAAGAGGGUCCUAAACAAAAAAGUUAAUUCUCAUUUUCCAGGAGGGUCCUGAACAUAAAGUAAAUUUCCCAUUUUCUAGGAGGGUCCUGAACAUAAAGUAAAUUUCUCAUUUUCCAAGAGGGUCCUGAACAUAAAGUAAAUUCUCAUUUUCCAGGAGGGUCCUAAACAUAAAGUAAAUUUCCCAUUUUAUAGGAGGGUCCUGAACAUAAAGUAAAUUUCUCAUUUUCCAAGAGGGUCCUGAACAUAAAGUAAAUUUCUCAUUUUCCAGGAGGGACCUGAACAUAAAGUGAAUUUUCAUUUUUUCGGAGGGUCCUGAACAUAAAGUAAAAUUUUCAUUUUCUAGGAGGGUCCUGAACAUAAAGUAAAUUUCUCAUUUUCCAGGAGGGUCCUAAACAUAAAGUAAAUUCCCAUUUUCUAGGAAGGUCCUAAACAUAAAGUAAAUUCCCAUUUUUAGGAGGUUCCUGAAUAUAAAGCAUAUUUCUAUUUUCCAGAAGGGUCCUGAACAUAAAGCAAAUUCCCAUUUUCUAUAAGGGUCCUGAACAUAAAUCAAAUUUUCAUUUUUCAGGAGGGUCCUAAACAUAAAGUAAAUUCCCAUUUUCCAGGAGGGUCCUAAACAUAAAGCAAAUUUCCCAUUUUUCAGAAGGGUCCUGAACAUAAAGUAAAAUUUUUAUUUUUUAGGAGGGUCCAGAACAUAAAGUAAAUUUUCCAUUUUCCAGGAGGGUCCUGAACAUAAAGUAAAUUCCUAUUUUCCAGGAGGGUCCUGAACAUAAAGUAAAAUUUUCAUUUUUCAGGAGGAUCCUAAACAUAAAGUAAAUUCAUAAAUGUGCUUUUCCAAAGGUAGCUGAAUUAAGCAAAGUGAAUUCUGCCCCUGUUUCAACAAAGAAAAUUUAUCAGUUAAAAACUUAGUGGUGGCUUGCAGCACUUGGCUUUCUUGAUGCCUGAUCCAGUGUUCAUUCCCUUUAUCAGAUUGCUGGCACUUGCCCCUGCUUUGUCGCGUCAUUGACCCAAACAUAUAUUAAGGGAAUUGGCUUUGAUUCUAGCAUUGAAUUUUAUUUUACCAUGUCUCCGAUAUACACCUUUUGCAUCAUGUCAUUUCCAUAAAUUCAGAAAUUGGUAGGUUGAUAAACUUCCUUUGUUUUGUUCCAACUUAUGACCUAGUUUCUUUCAUGUGCUGGUCCUGGCCCUGCCCUAUGCAAUUUAGGAGAUUGGCAGCAAGUUUUAAAAUUCUUUCUCACUUGUCUUGACUCAAAAUUGAAUCAAAAAAUGUAAGGAAAUAAUGGUGAUUUUCUUAUUCGAUAAAUGACAUAAAAGACAAAAUAUAUGAAUAUGUAAAAGAAAUAAAUCUUGGCUGAUCAUCAUCAAUCUCGGCUUCCACAAUGACUCGAAGAGAUGGAAUUUUCACUAUUGCAAGUAUGAGUGCUUCCGUCCCGUACACUAACAAAUAUGGAGUUUCCCCUGUUGAAGUGUGAACGAUAGUACGAUAACCUAGCAAAGCAAAAGGAAACUUAGCAUGCCAUUGUCUGGAUCCUUGUACCAUUUUUCGAAGGAUAUUUUUGAUAUUCUUGUUGGCAGCUUCAACAGCGCCAUUUGCCUUCGAACGAUACAGAGUGGAAUUUUGGUGUGCAAUCUUAAACUGUUAACAGACCUCUUGCAUCAAAUGGCUAUUGAGGUUGGCAGCAUUAUCUGUAAUGAUAGCCUUUGGAAUGCCAAAUCUACAAAUGAUGUUAACAUGAACAAAAUCCACCACCGCCUUCUUUGUCACAGACUUGAAAGUCGAUACUUCUACGCACUUUGUAAAAUAUUCAAUGGCUACUAAAAUGAAUCUAUGUCUGUUCAAUGCUUUCGGUUCAUCGUGACUUGGCUUCAUACAUUGUGACUUUUUGCUGAGAUAAUAGAUGUCUUGCUCCUUUUUUUGAGUGAUAUCAUGUUGACCCAACACAUAACCGAAGGAAUUAUCCAUAAUUGAUAAGUACAAAAUCAACGGCCUAUCAGGCUUAGACGGUACCAACAUAGGCGGAUUCAAUAGAUAUAUUUUGAUUUUGUCGAACUCCUUCUGACAUUCCUCUGUCCAUUCAACAAUGACACUCUUCUUCAGCAACUUAAAAAUGGGCUCACAAGUGGUUGUGAGAUGAGCAAUGAAUCUACUGAUGUUGUUCAGCCUACCAAGCAAAAUCAUCAUCUCUUUUCUAUUCUUAGGUGGCGGCAGAUCCUGAAUAGCCUUAAUCUUUGAAGGAUCCAAUUCAAUACCUUUACGACUGACCACGAACCCUAACAAAUUCAUAGAUGAAACUACAAAUACACAUUUUGCUGGGUUGAGUUUGAGAUUAUAGCUGCGAAACCUCUCAAAGAACUUCCUUAAAUAUUUAACAUAAUUUACUUGACUUUUAGACUUAAAUAGACUUUAAUUUCCUUAUGGAUCAUAUCAUGAAACAUAGUGGUCAUGGCCCUCAUGUAUGUUAGUCCAACAUUCUUCAAACCGAAUGACAUCACUCGAUAAUAAUAAGUCCCCCACGGUAUGAUGAAAGAUGUCUUCUCUCCAUCAUCAGCAUCCAUAACUAUUUGGUAGUACCUAGCAUAACAAUCCACAAAAGAAGCAACCUCAUAUUUAGCACAAUUAUAUAAUAGAAUAUGAAUGUUUGGUAGUGGAAAAUCAUCAUUCGGGAUGGCCCUAUUCAAAUCACGAUAAUCGAUACACACUCGAACCUUGCCGUCUUUCUUUGGGACAAAAACAACAUUGGACAACCAAUUAGGAUAGCGAGCAACUCGAAUGACCUUGGCUUUGAUCCGUUUCAUGAUUUCCUCUUUAAUUUUCAUGAUUACAUCGGUUUUGAAUUUUCUCAACUUCUGUUUGACAAGGGGUAUCGCAGGGUCAGUCAGCAACUUGUAGACCACUAAUUUGAUGCUUAAACCCGGCAUAUCAUCGGAAGACCAUGCAAAAACUUAUUUAUAAACAAUUAAUGCUUGUAUCAUCCCUUCUUUUAAUUGUGGUAAAGCAUGUACACUUAUUUUAGUUUCCCUAACCUCUUCUUGAUCGCCAAGAUUAGUUGACUCAGUUUCAUUCAAAUUAGGAUUCAACUUGGCUUCAAAUUAUUGCAACUCUUUGCUUAUUUCUUCCAAUGUCUCUUCUUUAUCACAUUCCACCUAUUGAUUUAUUACAUCUUGAUUAGGCUGGAUUUUAAGAUCUGGCUGAAAAUUCUGCAUAUAUGUCGUAUCACUAGAAUCUGCAUAAUGCGAACUGUAUAAAGAAAAGACAAAUAAAAUGCAUUAGAGAUAAAACAAAAGGGACAUUGCAUUUCAUUACAAAAAAAUACAUGAGGGUUUAUACAUAAGCGACGACAAAAAUAUAAACACGACAUAUCCCAAAUUACAACCCUGAAAUAACUUGGAUAACAGAAAGAAGAACAAAAUAAGCUACCUAAACUCCCUCCUGAUGGGGAAAAGAGUGACUUUCCUAUUGCUGAGCUGCACACCAGGGCCUAUGAACUGUAUAUCUGCCUUACUGGUACCUUCUCCCACUUCAACCAUAUUAGAUUUAACGAACAGGUUUUAGAAAUCAACUAACUCAGCUUUCACCUCUUGUAUGUGCUUUAUAACACUUCUUUGCCAAAUGGCUUAUUGAGUAGUGGCACUGGGUGGGGGAGUGACCAUGUUUCCUUCUUUUGCUUCUUGGACUUUUUCCAAUCUUCAACUGUAGGUUUGAAACCUAAACCAAAACUACCCAGGUUCUCACUUAGACAUAUUGGAAGAGCUAUACCAUGUAAAGAUACUUGUAAACCCUUUCUUGGCUCAAAGUCGUAUUUCAAUAUCUGGUUAACCAUCAUGACAAAAGCAGGAGAUAACUAUGGCCCUGGAAAAACAUGUCUUUCAUAGAUAUGAUCCACAAAUACUGCAUAAAAAGAUUGAUAGACUAAUGUAGCCUCUGCAUUAUUUUUCUCGACAAAAGGCAUGGAAGAGUCUUUAUAGAUGGCCAAAUCCCCUUCACCGUGAAUGAUCACCUCCUGCUUGUCAUGUUCAAACUUAAUUAUCUGGUGCAACGUCGAUGCAACGGCUCCAGCCUUAUGAACCCACGGUCUUUCCAAUAACAAAUUGUAAAAGGCAUCGAUAUUCAAUAGUUGAAACUCUAUGGCAAAUUCGACGGACCCUAUAGUCAAUAUUAGCUCUAUUUCACUAAUGAAAUCUAUUUUCACUCCAUUAAAAGCUCUGACACAUACAUUGUUGGGUCAAAUCCUCUCGGUAUUGAUGUUCAUUUUUUGCAAAGUAGACAGAGGAUAAAUAUUCACACCAGAACCUCCAUCAAUCAUGACACGAGUGACAUAGAAGCAUUCAUACUUCACAGUAAUGUAAUGGCCCCAAGUAUGCCCCAUACCUUCCACAGGCAACUCAUCAUCCGAAAAGCUAAUCCUAUUUACCUCAAAAAAAUUUCCAAUAAUUUUCUCCAAUUGAUUUACCAUAACUUCCCUAGGGAUGUAAGCUUCAUUCAACACCUUUAGCGCAAUAUUACAUUGUUCAUUAGAAUGCAACAUCAUGGAAAAAAGAGAUAUUUGAGUUGGAGUCUUCCUCAACUGAACUAUGAUUUAGUAUUCAAGUAAUUUUAUCUUUUUCAAAAUCUCUUAAGCUUCUUCCUUGGUGAUGGGUUUUUUGAGAGUCGACUGGCUAUUCACCAUUGAUUUAGACUUCCUUAAACCUUUUGGGACAAAACACCUUCCUGAAUGAGUCAAAACACCAACUACAUUCACUUCAUCCACAAUUUCCUUCCCUUGAUAAUACAUCCCAGUCUGCUUAUAAUUUCAAGGGACUUUUUUGAGGUCGAUCAACGGGAGUUGUGUCACUGGCUUAAUGAUAGUAGGCACCGCAGGUAUCCCUUUCACAGUCAAAAUAGGCUUUCUUGGGGCUCCCAAUACCAUUAAAUUUGGCUUAUCCUGACUCAGCCCAAUAAUUUUUCCCACUCCUUUGACAAUCAGCACAGGUUUCUUCUCAUUUCCUUGAGUUUCCUUUUCUAUCAUCUUCUUUGGAAUCAAAGACAUUACCUUCAUCGAAUAUGCAACAUUCACCGAAUUCUCCUUAUUAGUUGGGAUCCUAACGAUUGGCUUUUAAGACACCAUGGACUCUUUACCUUCAUAUAUCAACUACAAUAUGUUCAUUUUAGCAUGGAAUGGCAAUGGAUUUUGGUUGAUGUUUGAAACCUCCGAGGCUUGUACUAUAAUUUAAUUAUGUCGAUCAUAUCCUGAAUUGCUCAAAUACCAACAUCUUUCUGUAUCAUGCUCAGGCAUAUCAGAAUAGUAUGCACAUCUUAGAUAAUAAUCAAGGUUACUUGGGGGCAGAUUCAGAAGCUUUCCUUCGAUUGGUCUCAGGACCUUCAUAUUUAUCAACUUCUGAAACAAACUAGUAUAUGACUCUCUGAUGGGUGUGAAAUCAUUCUUGAUUUCCUUCUCUUUCUUAAACUAGAACCUAGGUCAAAAACCAGAUUUAUAAGGGUUUUGGUAAUUUUGUGGAGCUAAAGGACGAUUUUGAAGGGUUAGCGUAUACCAUUAUGGGUGGAAAGGGGUUUGAACGUAUGGUUGUGCGCUAUAUACUGGGUAUGAGGGUAGUGGAAUAGGAGACGAUGGAUUUUGUGGAGUGUAGUAAUGAUGGGGGGAAUAUAUGGAGCUUGGGCAUAGACUUGGGCUUGAGAUUGGGGAUAAGGGCGAGGUGGUUAUUUCGGAUAUGCAUGUGGCCCAACUACAACAACCACUACAUCCUCCUUCUUCUUCUUCCCUCUGAAAGUUCCAGAACUACUCUAAAUUUCUUGAGUCAUUUCCUUUAAUACGGCAAAGCUCACAAUUCAUCCUGUCUUAAUUCCCUCUUCUAUAAUUUCUCCUAUCUUAAGGACUUCAAAAAAUGGCUUACCCAUCGCCGAAAGUAAGUGUUGAAAAUAGGUUUCAUCUUGUGCCUGAAUAAAGACCUCUACCAAUUUGUUCUCCUUCAUCGAAGGCUUUACCCUUGUGGCCUAUUUAUGCCACCUUAUCGCAUACUCCCUGAAGCUUUCAGUAUUUUCUUCUUCAUAUUAUCCAGGGACUUCUCAUCGGGAAUCAGCUCAAUAUUAUACCAAAAUUGUUGUACGAAUUUGUUAGCCAGGUCAUCCCAGCUAUUCCAUUUGUCGAUAUCCUGACCAACUAACCAUAAAAAGAUAGACUGGAAAGACUUUCACCAAAGUAAGCCAUAAGUAACUCUUCUUUUCCUCCCACACCCCUCAAUUGGUUACAAUAACAUCUUAAAUGCGCCAUGGCAUCACCGUGUCCAUCGUACUUCUCAAACUUCAGCGUCUUAAAGCUAAGAUGAAGGUUGACGCCUGGGAACUUGCAUAGAUCUUUAUAGGAAAUACUCUUAUAACCCUCGAGUCCCUGUAGGUGUCUCAAGGCCUGUUCUAAACUCUGUAAUUUCCAUAAUAUGCCUUCCUGUUCUUCAGUCGUAUCAGGUUUCUCUGUAUCAAAGUAAAAUGCAGGAGGGUGAUUGUAACAAUACGGAUCAUUCAUCUUCAAGGUAAGCUCCAGAGCAUGUUGGUGAGCCUCUAGCAUUUUAAACACUAGUUCACUAGCAAACCCGAUGAGUAUAAUUAUUGGACGCACAACAUAAGUAGGAGCUUCAGAUGGUGGUAGAGCCACAAACACAGGUGUUGUAGGUUGUGCUGGCUGAGCAGUGGGCCUUGGUUGGGGAAUUGACAAGGGCACACUAGAAGUUCCUGGAUAAUACUAAUGUGAAGUUAAUCCUGGUGCGUGCUUGAGUGACUCAGUAGAAGCAGAAAAUUGUGCCUGGGAGAGCGGCGGGCAAUUGAAGAUGUUCCCAAGAUCUUUAGAGAAUGGAAGAGGAGCCAUGCCACCAGCCCAGGCACGGUGUAGAUCUGUCAAUUGUUUCCUUAGUCUCAAUAUCUAAUCAUUGCAUUCUGAACCCUCUUCUCUAAGAUCCUGUUUGGGUCAACAAGUGAAUUUUUGAUCUCCCUGUUAGCCAUGGCGAGCUUUGCUUUUGAUUUAAUGGAUUAAGGGUGACUAGAUAGAGUGCUACAAACCAACCAAUUUUAUCUGAAAGAACAUGCUUAUCAAAGACAAAACCCGUUAGGAUUAGGUCAGACAAUAAGCGUGGAAAUCACAUUGUAUAUACAUCCUAGAUUCAUGCGCAUUUCUACCAGCUUUUGAGGGUAGUGAGGUCAUUUUAACAUUAUCCCAAUUGUUCGCUUACACUAUUUUUCUCUUCCCCUCUUAUCACACCUCAUUUUUUUCUACCUUUUUGCCCUCGCUUCUCUCUUCUUUGCCUCAGUUUCUUUUCCUUAUCCUUUCUUCUCUCACGAUUCUUUCCUUCUUUUUAUCAUUCUUUAUGGUUUUUCCUUUUGGUUAAAAGAAGAAAAUUAAGGAAAAACAAAAAAAAUGAUUAGAUCGAACCUAAAAAUAGGUUGCCUACAUAUUAUGUUGUACAUGAAUCAGAUCUUACGUAGUUCGGGACGUAUGCACAGAGUUGAUGAUUUUUUUAUUUUUGAUUGAUGUUUUUUUUAUCUUUUGAUUUUUAAUUUUUUUUAAUGACGAAAACCAAAACAAAAUAAAGUACAACACACACCAUUACAUUUCAUAAAAGAAAGAAAUAAAACAAACUUUAAAUUUAAGACAACCUUAAUACUAGUCAACAAAGACUAAACAAUACUGUAGACCCACAGGACAACAUGCGUGACACUCCUAACAAAGACUUCAAUGUUAAAACAAACUUGACACCGACUUAACAAAGACACAACAAAAUAAUAAAAAAAAUAAAGGACUCAAACUUAAAUAAAAGAUAGGAAGUGCCCUCCUUCAAACUGCUGCACCGCAUGAUGGCCCUGGCUAAGAUGAACUCAUCUGUGAAGUUCCUGCUUUCCCACUUAAAUUCUGCAACAUAUCAUGUAAUGACACUUUGAUAUUUGAGAAGAAGCUUCUGGCAUGUAUUCCGACCUCUUGGGGAGUACACCUGAAAAGACUUUUCUGAUACCCUUCCACAGUUGUGAGCAAACCUGAUAACUGUACUCUUAACGACUCAAUUUUGGCCCCUGCAUCUUCACCCUCAUAGUUAUCAACUAUACAAGCUUUCUGUAUUCUCCCUCUAAGUUGUGCUGGGAAUGGUCUACUGACACCCCGGGAAAUAUAUUGUAGCCAUAUUCCAUAUCCUAGAGUGUAUCCUGGAUUAUCUAAAUCUGCCCUGAGAGUAUCCACACCCUGCCACAUUGCAUUAUUCCAGAACUGGUCAUAUUUAAUCUCACCCCUAGCUUGGUCCCUAAAGUACUCAACAUAUUUUUGGAGGUCCAUUAUCGGUGGAACGUCUUGCAAUCUACCUAACUAAUACAUUACCCUAAGGGGAGUGUAUGGUCGGGUAUAAUUAAGCCCCAAUAAAACUAGAUAGAGUUGCAAGCUACAUGCGACCAAGAUUGUUUUCGAGCGAAGCCAAAAAUAGGUCCAUAGGAUAUUUCCAUUUAUUCUUUAUUUGAGAAAUUCAAUCCAAGCAUCGACUCCUACUGGCAAUGAGAAUUUAUCAAAGCGCAUUCUCUCUUCCAUAGCUUUCACUUGAUCUAAGAGACAACGAUCAAUCAUAGUUGAUUUUAUCAAAGACAGAACAUGCAAAUGCUCCAUCAUCCAUAGUUGCAACACUAGAUAACUUUCUUUGAAGAACCGCAUCCCCCUUUUACUUCAGUUAGGGCCUUAUAUAUCUCUACUAAAAGCAUAGGUAUGAUAGUAACCUUGUCCCCUUUCUCCUCAUGAAAUAAGGCCAUCACUACAGAUUGUAAAUGGGUAUUAACAUGCCUUUCAUUUAGUGGAAACACUAGAGUGAGUAACAAAGCGAGGGCAAGGACUUCAAGACGCUUUCUUUCCCAAUUCUUCGUAGUUAUAUGAAAUUCAUCCCAAAAAUAAUCAAAACCUCCUAAUGAUCUGAAUCGAGCGAACAAGUAGUCUAGGGAAAUCCAUGAUUGAUUAAGGUAUCCCAAAUGCCUAUUUUUACUUCUUAAAUCACAGCCUUGAACAAACCUCGUGUUAGUAUGAUUGCGGUCUCGGAUCAUCUGUAGACCGAUGUAAGGCAACUGACAUAGACCAGAUAUUUUUGACAGAGUAGGCCUCAUUUCACAAUUCUCGAACCUAAACACCAAACUACUAGGAUCCUAAAAAGUUGAUGCUGCUUCUAUCAGAUCUGGAUGGGGUGUAAGACGCAGGAGUGCCAUAAGAUUACCCAAUACUAUCUGUAGCUCAUGCUGUUCGGAGUAGUUGAACGCACCCCACCGCUUGAUUAACUUUUUAGGGACCUUGAAAACCAUCCGAACUCUAGACUUUGUGGUUAGGUCCAUCCUGAAAUAACACAUAGGGCAUCAACUAAAAAUUUGAUAAGAAUAAAAGAUUCCCAACCCUUGGGACUUUGACGCGGACAUAUGUCGAAGGGACAAACCACUUUAUGACUCCAAUUCACUGAACAACACCACUGAAUGAAAUCAGCCUACUUGCCUAGAACUAGAUAACAAUGCUAGAUUAUGAGGAGAAAUACCCUAGGCUAAGACUAAGACAAAGGCCAAAAAUAAAGAUUACUGGACCCACCAAGGGCUGCCUACGUAUCCAGCUCCGAGGGAUGGGAAUCAGGUAUGCAUAAUUCGUACAGAUUGGACAAUUAAAUAUUAACUAACAGAUUGACCCUAACUUAAGAGACAUGACCAAAGAUAGAUGAUUUUUUUUUGAGGUUCAAUUUAACACUUCACAUAAAACAGACACCAACAACUAUGAAAGAAAAUCCUAUUGGUAAUUUCAUUAUAUGAAAUGUACAAAAUUCUACCAUUUUUGAAUUUUUCUUUUAUAAAAGCUCCUAUGAAGAAAAAUCUUUCUUUUUCAAAAGAUUUUGAUUUACAAAUGACUACUAAUGGAACUAAAGAUAAAUUGUUUUUGAUAUUUUUAUUUUUUGGAGAAAAUAAGUGCAACAGGAAAAAAUCUUUUUGAUGUUUUUAAAUUGUAAAAAAUGAAAGCCAUAAAGAACUCUAAAAAAAACUAUGAAACACUCUUUUACUUUACUCACCUUUUUCUUUUUCUCCCACCUGCAAAAUAAAAAUGCAAUUCAAUAUAUACAUCAUCAUGCAACACACAUUAUUACAAUAAUCACACAACACACUACAUCAACAAAUCAUUUAAGCAAUUUAAAUCAACAACACUUAAACGAUGAAUCCAACAUUAUUCAAAAUAAUUAAACACUCCUAAAGAUUUUUCACUACUUAAAAGAUACGUUCAAAAAUAUCUAAAAAAUAUCUAAAAGUCAAGUCCAACAACACUAAGGAGUAUCCCCAACAAACUCCUCAUCACUCUUUGUUUCCUCUUUGCUACUUGAAUUAGAAGCAACGACAUGUGUCAAGGCAUGUCUAAGAUGUGCAAUCUAAUGUGACAUAGCAGCAUGUCUCUCAAAAAUUUUAAAAAUGACCUGAUCGUGCUUUGCCAACCAAUAACACAUUGUCUGAAAAUCAAUUGACUAGUGUCACACCCCUUUUUAACUCCAAAAGAUUGAUUUUAAGUUUGAAAGGACUUUUAUUAUCAAAGUGAAAAAAAGUUUAAAAUUUGUUUUGAAAAGGGAUUAUUUAUAUUUUGUUAUUCAGAGUCGCCACUUGACAUGAACACGGUGUGCCAAGUGACCUUUGAAAAUCCUUUUCAAAACUGUUUGACUCUUUAAACUGAUUUGUGAAUAGAGAUUUUGGGUAAGGAAUUCUAUUCACCGAGGGGAAGGUGUACGCACCCCUCGAUCCCGUGGUUCGACCACGGUCGCUUGGUGGAAUGUAUCGGCUAAUCCUAAACUACUCUCUAAUGCUUUACCCGAUGCCUCGGGCCUUCGGCACAGAUGUCCUCUGAGUACAAAAUACUUCGAGGCAUUCCCCGGUGAAUAUAUACACAUAACUUCGGGGCAUUCCCCAACAAAUAAAUCCAUUGAUAGAAAUAUAGUAAACAAAACCAUCCAACAAAUAUUCCAAACAUUCCACAAUACACAAGUUCUAAAUUUACCUUCCCAACCUAUUAUUUGCCUAUCCAUCCAAUGGCCUAAUCAUGAUACAACAGCAUUUAACAUCCGUGUUUGUUCCAAAAAAACAAACCCCAAUAAAUUAAGAUUCAUUAAUAUUUAUUUUUAUCAACUCCCAAUGUCCAACCCCAAAUUAAAUUUUUAAUCCACAACUACCAAAUGAGACAAUUAACAACACAUUAACACCAAACUUGUAUCAUAAUCAAAGGUUCCACAACAAAUAUUUACAAAAACACACAAUCACAUCAACAAACACAUAAUCAUAGUAUCAAUUCGAUAAAUUAAGAUAAAAUGGAGAGAGAGAGUUAAACAAAUGGACCUUUUGAUAAUUAAAUUUAGUUAAUAAUAAUGAGUUAAAGAAAACCCAAACUCAAAAUCCUCUAACGGAGAGCCUCAACAACUAACAAAUCCAAUCGAUGUCAAGAAUCCAUACCCAAAUUUUGAUUCAAACACAAAUACGAGAAAAAUAUAAGAAACCCAAAAUAAAUACACCCUAAUCCAUACAAAAUACUGACACCAUCACGAAUCUGGAUUAAUUUUAGGGUGGAAACAGGACUGGUGAGUCGUCUGACCUUGUUGGAAAAGCUAUGGAUGGUGUAGGUGGAUUUUAUCAGUGGUGAAUCCCAUAAAUUUAUGGCAAGAAACUCUCUGGAAACCGUCAAACCCGUCCUCUUUUCUCCCUCCAUUCACUCUCUCUCUAUUUAUGCUUAAUUUCUCUCUCAAUUUUAUCUCUCUUGAUUAUUUCUUCCCUAUAUGUGUCCCUUCUGAGUGUGUGAGUUUUUGUGUGUGAGAGUCUCCUAAUGGGGAGUUGUAUGCACUGAUAAGAAAGAAUGAGAAAAAUGGUGGAGCUCCCCCUUUUCCACAAGCUGUGUCCCCUCUGUUUUUCCCCUUCUCCCUUUUUUAAUUCUCUAUAUAGGCAUUGUUAUUGUCUCUUCUUCAAAGAAGAUAGAAAUAAAGUCAAUGUAGUUGUUGUUGUUGGCACGUGGGGUUGUUAGGUAGUGGAUGGGAUAAGGUAUAGGUAGAGGAUAGGUAGGGGUAGGGUAUGUAGAUGAGUGAAAAUUAUUUUUAGGAGGGACAAAAUUAUGUGUCUACAUUAUGCCCCCUUUGAAUGUAUACACAAAGUGUUUUCAAACAAAGAAGUAGACAAUGAGAUAGAAUUUUGUCUCGAUCAUUAUUCAAAAGAAAGGAGCAAAAGGGAGAGAGGCAAUCGAGUCAUGAUUUUGGGCAUUCUACCUGUCUCAAGUUAUGUGAGAGUCAGGUCACAGUUAUCUCGAAGGAUUGGAAAGAGGAGGACUAUACCGAGUUGGAGAUUCAAGCGAGGUCCUGUCGAGGUUUUGGUCCGCAACUCUGCUAUACAUCAAAAUAAACAUUACAAGUUAAAAAGAUAACUGAAAUUACAAAAGUCCUAUUUAUGCAGCUUCUUUUGGACUCUUGACUUUAGUUUCUGAUACUUUCAAAAUGUACAAAAGAUCUGAUCAUUCUUUGGGUUGAACUUGAGAAUAGAUACUUUCUCCAUAUAAACUUUGAUGUUUGGAGAUAAACUCACAAAUUAACCAUGUUCUGUCGGAGGUAAUUCUGAACCUUGAUCCUGAAUUUGAAAAUCUCUACCCUAUUCUUCAGGCAGGCUUCUGACUUACAAUUUUUCACCUUGUUGCUUGACUUUCAAUCUCUUAACCUUGUUGCUUGACUUUUCAAUUAUUCACCUUCAGGUGGGCUCCUGACUUUUAAUUUCAUCACCCUGUUCUUCAGGCAGGCUCCUGACUUUAAAUUUCUUCACUCUAUUCUUCAGGCGGUCUCCUGACUUUCAAUUUCAUCACCCUAUUCUCUAGGCGGACUCCUAAAAUAAAUGUCGAAACUAAAACAUAAAUUAUCCCAAACAAAGAGUUUGAUUAAGAAAGAGUCCAUUUUUUCAAAAUAAAGUCUUAUUUGUCAGAAGGGUCCUGAACAUUAAGUAAAUUCCCAUUUUUCAAGAGGGUCUUGAAUAAAAAAGUUAAUUCCCAUUUUCCAUGAGGAUCUUGAGAAUAAGUAAAUUCCCCUUUUCUAGGAGGGUCCUGAACAUAAUGUAAAUUCUCAUUUUUCAGGAGGGUCCUGAACAUAAAGUAAAUUUUCCAUUUUCUUGGAGGUUCUUGAACAUAAAGUAAAUUUCCUAUUUUCCAGGAGGAUCCUGAACAUAAAGUAAAUUCCCAUUUUCCAGGAGGGUCCUAAACAUAAAGUAAAUUUCCCAUUUUCCAGGAGGGUCCUGAAUAUAAAAUAAAUUUCCCAUUUUCCAGGAGAGUCCUGAACAUAAAGUAAAUUUCCAUUUUCCAGGAGGGUCCAGAACAUAAAGUAAAUUCCCAUUUUCCAGGAGGAUCAUGAACAUAAAGCAAAUUUCCAUUUUUCAGGAGGGUUCUAAAUAUAAAUAAAAUUUCUAUUUUACAAGAGGGUUCUGAACAUAAAGUAAAUUCCCAUUUUCUAGGAGGGUCCAGAACAUAAAGUAAUGUCCCAUUUUCCUAGAGGGUCCUGAACAUAAAAGAAAAUUCUCAUUUUCCAGGAGGGUCUUGAACAUAAAGUAAAUUUCCCAUUUUCCCGGAGGGUUCUAAACAUAAAGUAAAUUUCCAUUUUCCAGGAGCGUCCUGAACAUAAAGUAAAUUUCCUAUUUUCCAGGAGGGUCCUGAACAUAAAUUCACAGAUGUUCUUUACCAAAGGUAGCUGAAUUAAGCGAAGUGAAUUCUGCCUCUGUUUCAACAAAGAAAAUUUGUUAGUUAAAAAUUUAGUGGUAGCUUGCAGCACUUGGAUUUUUCGAUGCCUGGUCCAGUGUUCAUUCCCUUCAUUUUGUUUCAGAUUACUGGCACUUGCCCCUACUUUGUCGCGUCAUUGGCCCAAACACAGAUUAAGGGAAGUGGCUUUGAUUCGAGCAUUGAAUUUUAUUUUACCAUGUCUCCGAUAUACACCUUUUGCAUCCUGUCAUUUCCAUAAAUUCAGCAAUCGGUAGGUUGAUAAACUUCAUUUGUUUUGUUCCAACUUAUGACCAUGUUUCUUUCAUGUGCUGGUUCUGGUCCCGCUCUAAGCAGAGGAGAUUGGUAGCAAGUUUUGAAAUUCUUUCUCACUUGUUUUGACACAGACUUGACUCAAAAAGUGUAAAGAAAUAAUGGUGAUUUUAUUAUUUGAUAAAUGAUAUAAAAGACCAAACAUAUGAAUAUGUAAAAGAAAUAAAAUGACAAUGUCCCUUUUUUUAGAAAUGGAAAAGGAGAAAAACUUAUCUAAAUACUGCAGACAACUCUAAUGAUUCUGACAUGCACUUUAGAUUAAACCGCCUGAUCUUCUAACCCAAACUUUGCCACUUGUUAUUGAUUUAAUUCCCUGAAACCGAGUUGCCUCUUCCAGGCUACUGAAUUCAUAUAUCUCUCAGCUGACUAGUGGCGCCUUGAAGGGUUUUCGCCAGCAACCUUUUUUUUUAUUUCUCACCAUAGCCUUACGGUGCCCGUGGGGGUUUUCACUAAUAAGACUCUCUAUUUUUUAUUUCUCUCAACUCAUCAUCGCCUUACGGUGUCCUUGAGGGUUUUCACCAAUAAGGCUUUCUCAUUUUUGUUUCUCUCAACUCACCAUCGCCUUACGGUGCCCAUGAGAGUUUUCAUCGAUAAGACUCUCUCAUUUUUAUUUCUCAUAUUUCCCCCAUAAUGAUGCUGGAAAUAUAGUACCAAAACCUUGUCAUAUAUCCAUCGCAUGUUUCGCCUUGACAUUCUUGAAGAUUGAUCUAAAGGUCUUUCUUCAGUUGUAACUUGGCUUUUGGACAAGGUCAAAAAGAAAAAAUGACAUGAGGCUCAAACGACACGUGAAGUAGGGUGGGAUUUACAACUUUUGGAGUUGACUUAAACAGCAAAAAUUAACUCAUGCCCAAGAUUCUUUUGAUUGGGUAACUCUAAAUUGUUCAUUUGGUUGGACCAAACCCAAAAUAGGGUUUCCUACGUAUCUCACCCCCGAAAAAGGCGAAUCAGGUCAAACGUAGUUCCAGCGACUUGUUCUUUGUUUUUGGGUUGAUUAUUUUUUCUUUUUUUUUCUUUCUCUUUUUUUAAAUCUUUUGAUUCUUCUUUUCUUGACACUUUUAUCCCUUUUUACUCUAUUUUGAUUCCAAAAGAGAGAUAUGGAAGAAAAUAAAAACCAAAUCUCAAAAGGGUAAACAAAGGAUGACACAAUAUUGGAUUAUUAAAGUAAAAUGACUUCAUCAUAUAAAUUUUAAAAAAUGUCAAGACUAAACAUUCAAUAGAAAUAAUCAGGGAUAAAGAUCAUACAUAAUAUCUUUUAACUGCAUCAGUAUUGAUAGCUAUUUCUGCCACUUUUUCUUCUAUAUCUGUCAAGUAUAAGGCUCCAUUGGGUAACACUUUAUUUACAAUUAAGGGUCCUUGCCAAUUUGAGGAAAAUUUGCCUUUAGCUUCAAUUCGAUAAGGGAGGAGCCACUGAUCAUCAUCAAUCUCGGCUUCCACAAUGACUCAAAGGAAUGGAAUUUCCACUUCGGCAGGUAUGACUGCUUCCGUCCCGUACACUAACAAAUAUGGAGUUUCCCCUGUUGAAGUACGAAUGGUAGUACGAUAACCUAGCAAUGCAAAAGGGAACUUCUUAUUCCAUUAUCUGAACCCUUGUACCAUUUUCCACAGGAUCUUUUUGAUAUUCUUGUUGGCAGCUUCAACGACACCAUUUUUCUUCGAACGAUACGGAGUGGAAUUUUGGUGUGCAAUCUUAUACUUUGACACACCCCUUGCAUCAAAUGGUUGUUAAGGUUGGAAGAAUUAUCUGUAAUGAUAGCCUUUGGAAUGCCAAAUCUACAAAUGAUGUUAGCAUGAACAAAAUCCACCACCGCCUUCUUUUUCACUGACUUGAAAGUUGCUGCUCCUACCCACUUUGUAAAAUAGUCAAUGGCUACCAUAAUGAAUCUAUGUCCGUUCGAUGCUUUUGAUUUAAUCGGUCCAAUCAUGUCCAUCCCCCAAGCUACAAAAGGCCAUAGAGAUGACAUUGUAUGUAACUCAGUAGGAAGAGAGUUUAUUAGAUCAUUGUGUACCUGACAUUGAUGACAUUUUAGAACAAAAUGGAUAGAGUCCCUCUCUAUAGUAAGCCAAUAAUAACCUAUCGAGGUAUCUUCUUUGACAACACAUAACCAUUUAUAUGUGACCCACAUACUCCGGAAUGUACUUCAACCAUGAUUAUCAAAGCUUCUUUUGCAUCUACACACCUCAAAAGUCCCAGAUUAGGGGUUUUCUUGUAAAAGAUUCCCCCACUUAAGAAAAAUCCAUUGGCCAAAUGCCUAAUAGUUCUCUUUUGAUCACUGGUGGCAUGUGUUGGAUAUUCUCCUGACUGAAUGUAUCACUUGAUAUCAAAGAACCAAGGCUUGCAAUCGAGCUCUUCUUUAACCGUAUUACAAUAAGCAUGUUGAUCACAUCUCUGUAUAUGCACUGGAUCAAUAUAAUCCCUAUCAGGAUGUUAGAGCGUCAAAGAUAAUGUGGCUAGACCAUCAGCAAUCUCAUUACGAACUCUCGGAAUAUGCCUAAACUUUACUGACACGAACCAUUGACAUAGACUUUGCAAGCAUUAUCGAUACGGUAUAAGAUUUAAAUCCCGUGUCUCUCAUUCGCCUUGAAUCUGGUGGACAACCAAGUCUGAGUCUCCCAACACUAAUAAUUCUUGAACUCCCAUGUCAAUAGCUAGCGUUAGCCCCAAAAUGCAAGCUUCAUAUUCUGCCAAGUUGUUGGUACAAUAAAGCUUUAUACUCAGUAAACAAUAUUUGCCAUUUUGCAAGUCAACCCGUUGGCAUGGGUUUUUGAAAGAUAUACUUCAAAGGAUCUAUAUGGAAGAUGAGGUAAGUAGUGUAGGAUGAAAGAUAAUACUUCAAACUUUGUGCUACCCAAUUUAGGGCACAACACGUUCUUUCAAGAACAGUGUGCAUGGCUUCAUACAUUGUGAACUUUUUAAUAAGAUAACAAAUGGCUUGCUUUUUCUCAGUGAUAUCAUGUUGACCCAACACAUAAUCAAAGGAAUUAUCCAUAACUGAUAAGUACAAAAUCAAGGGCCUACCAGUCUCAAGCGGUACUAACACAAGCGGAUUCGACAGAUAUCUUUUGAUUUGUCGAAUGCCUCCUGACAUUUCUCUAUCCAUUCAACAAUGACACUCUUCUUCAGUAACUUAAAAAUGGACUCACAAGUGGUUGUGAGCUGAGCAAUAAAUCUACUGAUGUAGUUCAGCCUACCAAGCAAACUCAUCACCUCUAGUCUAUUCUUAGGUGGCGGCAGAUCCUAAAUAGCCUUGAUCUUUAAAGAAUCCAAUUCAAUACCUCGACGACUGACCACAAAUCCUAACAACUUCCCAGGCGGAACUCCAAAUACAUAUUUUACUGGGUUGAGUUUGAGAUUACACCUGCGAAGCCACUCGAAGAACUUUCUUAGAUCUUUAACAUGAUCUACUUGACUUUUGGACUUAAUGAUCACAUCAUCUACAUAGACUUCACUUUCCUUAUGGAUCAUAUCUUAAAACGUAGUGGCCAUGGCCCUCAUGUAUGUUGCUCCAUUAUUCUUCUAACUGAACAACCUCACUCGAUAAGAAUAAGUCCCUCACGGUGUGAUGAAAGAUGUCUUCUCUGAAUCAUCAACAUCCAUAACUAUUUGGUGGUACCCAUCAUAACAAUCAACAAAAGAAGCAAUCUCAUAUUUAGCACAAUUAUAUAAUAGAAUAUGAAUGUUAGGUAGUAGAAAAUCAUCCUUCGGGCUGGCCCUGUUCAAAUCACAAUAAUCGAUAAAAAGAAUUUGAUGGCCUAAUCAUGAUACUAAAGCAUUUAACAUCCGUGUUUGUUCCAAAAUAACGAACCCCAAUUAAUCAAGAUUCAUCAAUAUUCAUUUUUAUCAACUCCUAACAUCUGACCCUAAAUUAUAUUUUUUAUCCACAACUACCACAUGAGACAAUUAUCAACACAUUAACACCAAACUCGUAUCAUAAUCAAUGGUUCGACAUCAAACAUUCACAAAAACAUACAAUCACAUCAACAAACACAUAAUCAUAAUAUCAAUCCAAUAAAUUAAAAUAAAAUAGAGAGAGAGAGAGUUAAAGAAAUGGUCCUUUUGAUAAUUAAUUUUGGUUUUAUAAUAAUGAGUUAAAGAAAACUCGAACUCAAAAUCUUCAAAUGGAGAGCCUCACCAACAAAUAAAUCCAAUCAGUAUCAAGAAUCCACACCCAAAUUUUGAUUCAAAUACAAAUACGAGAAGAAUAUGAGAAACCCAAAAUAAAGACACCCGAAUCCACAUAAAAUACUGACACCAACAUGAAUUUGGAUGAAUUUUGGGGUAGAAACGGGAUUGGUGAACCAUCUAAUCUUGCCAGAACAAUAAUGGAUGGUACGGGCGGUGUUUAUCAGUAGUUAAUCUGGUGAAUUUAUGGCGAUAAACUCAUUGACAACCAUCAAACCCAUCCAUUUUUUCCUUCCAUUCACACUCUCUCUGUUUAUGCUUAAUUUCUCUUUCAAUUCACUCUCUCUCUCAAUUUUUGUCUUCCCUAUGUGUGUACCUUCCAUGUAUGUGAGUUUUUGUGUGUGAGAGUCUCCUAAUGGGGAGUUAUGUGCACUGAUGAAGAAAGAAUAAAAAAAAUAGAGGAGCUCCCCUUUUUCCACAAUUUGUGUCCCCUCUGUUUUCCCUUCUCCCCUUUUUAAUUCUCUAUGUGUGCAUUGUUACUGUCUCUUUUUCAAAGAAGAAAGAAAGAAAGUCAAUGUAGUUGUUGUUUAUGGCAUGUGGGGUUGUCAGGUAGUAGGUGAGAUAAGGUACGGGUAGAGGAUAGGUAGGGGGUAUGGUAUGUAAAUGAGUAAAAAUUAUUUUUUGAAGGGACAAAAUUAUGUGUCUACAACUAGUGUUAUACGAUAUAUAUAUAUAUAUAUAUAUAUAUAUAUAUAUAUUAAAGUUAACUAAAUAAUAAUUAAAUCUAAUAUACCUUAAACUCUUGAAACAUGGCUUGUUUAAAGACUAUUGGAAUGUCCCAUCACUCGUGCCAAUGAUAUGUAAAAAGUCUCAUAACGCUCUCCCUUACAGCUUCAUUAACUUCUUUUGACGCGGGAUACCACUUGUAAAAACAUAAUAAGUAUGUAAGUUUAAAUAUUUUAUUAAUUAAAAAAUAAACCUAUCAAUUAAAAAAAAAACUUAUGAAGAUCCAUCAGGCUCGAUGAAUAUUCUACCAAAUAUGUUCGUAUCUCCAGGAAUUAGACCAAUUAAAUCUGCAUCAAUAUCUUCUUCUACAGAAGGAGGUGGAGGUGGAGGUGGAUGUGGUGGUGACUUGAUCAUUUUGAAGUCACUAGUACACAUUUCAAAACACUACACUUAACGAUUUUCAAGUAAUGAAUUCACAUUACAAAUGAUAAUGCAAAUCAUUUUCAAGUCAUGAAUUGACAUUUCAAGUGACAACACUAAAUCAAUUUCAAGUCAUGAAUUCACAUUUUCAAAUGAUUGCACUUUACUAAUUUCAAAACACAAGUUCAUCUUUCAAGUAACUACACUAAACCAUUUUCAAGUCACUAAUUCACUUCUCAAGUGACUACACUUGAUUAAUUUGAAGUCACUAGUAGACAUUUCAAAACACUAUACUUAACCAUUUUCAACUCUCUAAUUCACUUCUGAAGUGACUAAACUUAACCAUUUUCAAGUCAUGAAUUCACAUUUCAAGUGACAACACUAAAUCAAUUUAAAGUCAUGAAUUCACACUUUCAAGUGAUUACACUUUACUAAUUGCAAAAUACAAGUUCACCUUUAAAGUAACUACACUAAACCAUUUUCUAGUCGCUAAUCCACUUCUCAAGUGACUACACUUGAUCACUUUAAAGUCACUAGUACACAUUUCAAAACACUACACUUGACCAUUUUCAACUCUCUAAUUCUCAUUUCAAAUGACUAAGCCUAACCAUUUUCAAGUUAUGAAUUCACAUUUCAAGUGUCAACACUAGACUAAUUUCAAGUUAUGAAUUCACAUUUUCAAUUGAUUACACUAAGAUAAUUUCAAAACACAAGUUGACCUUUUAAGAACUACACUAAACCAUUUUUAAGUCGCUAAUCCACUUCUCAAGUGACUAGUACACAUUUCAAAACACUACACAACCAUUUUCAACACUCUAAUUCACAUUUCAAGUGACUAAACUUAAUCAUUUUCAAGUCAUGAAUUCACAUUUCAAGUAUCAACAUUAAACCAAUUUCAAUUCAUGAAUUCACAUUUUCAAGUGAUUACACUUUACUAAUUUCAAAGCACUAGUUCAUCUUAGAACUAAACUAAAUUAUUUUCAAGUUGCUAAUCCACUUUUUAAGUGACUGGUACACAUUUUAAAACACUACAAUUAAUCAUUUUCAACUCUCUAAUUCACAUUUCAAGUGACUAAACUUAAUCAUUUUCAAGUCAUGAAUUCACAUUUCAAGUCAUAAAAUUUUUAGUACCACAUUGCCAAUCUAAUUUGUCAAUUUUUAGUUUAAUUUGCUCUAUGUAAUGCUCCUUUGGCUAGGAAAAACAAACAAAAUAGUAUCUUGGAAUGACACUCGACAACCAAAAGACAAACAAAAGAGAAGAAAAAUAAAGUUGCAGUAGAAUAAUAUUCUCCAACACCAGUGUAUGAUCUAAAAUUAAAGCAAAGCAAAUAUUGGCAAAAAUGUCCCGUCCAGUGACAUACUAGUAUAAUGUUGAUCCAGUAAAUUCAUUUGAAGCGUGGACAAAGCAAAACUCAAGCAGAUAGCAGAUAUCAGCCAUGGCCUUGCAGUUGCUGAGUACAAGCAUCUGUACUAAAUGAUUCUUCAUGGGAAAAAUUGCUUUUUCUUUGUCAUUAUUUGUAGCUUUUGAAUUCAAGACUCUAAUUAAAAGCAAAGAAAUUGUAUUCAUUUCACUCUGUCUUUUGAUGGUAUUUAAAGCAUGAUUCACCUUUAAUCGCUACUCUAACUUUCUUUUCACUUUUUUCUUAAUCAUCUACUCUAAGUAACGAUUCAUCAAAAUUGAAGUUUACUCAUAGAUAUCAAAAUUUAUCUGAUUCGAGUCAGGCCUUUACAAGAUUAGUUCAAUACUCGUUAGAAGUUUACCAGAGGUUAUUUUAUGUUAAAUCCUAGAUCAUAUAUAGUUCUUUCCUAUAUAUAAAAGUACAUAUUCCCCUCAAAAGCCUUCUUGAAUAUUUCAUAAACACUUGGGUAUUGAUAUAUUGAUUAAGAUAUCAAAUAUGAUGUUUCUUGAAGCCCAAGUGAUAAAGAGAAGAUCAUUAUCCCCAAGAAUAACUCGAAAUAUCAAAAUAUUGUUCAGUAUUCUUGGCACUCAAAUUCAUCAGAAGAAGGCCUGUAUUAUACUACUUUCUAAAAAUAUGUCACUAGCAAUCCACAAAUCACGAAAGAAAUUUAAGAUAAAAAAAUUAAGAAAAAUCAUAAAAUUAUAUUUACGUAAUCUUGAUAAACAAAAUCACUUAUUUAUGUUUAUUUUAUAACUAUAAUUUAUCAUCAAAUUAUAUUUACUUAAUCUUGAUAAUCAAAAUCACUUAUUUAUGUUUAUUUUAUUACUAUAAUCACUUAAAUUGAAGGACAAAAAUAUGAACCAUAACUUCUUGAUUGAAAAUCCGCUAGAAUUCCUGUGACUUGCCUAGAGAAAAUAUGGAAUGUUUCUUUUCUCUAGGCUUGGUAUUACAUGGAUUAAAUUAAAAAAUUAUAUUUUUUAAGGAUUUUCGGUUUGAUUAAUUUGGAUGAUUUUUAUGUAUUUAUUUUUAAAAAUAUUGUUUAGUGAUUUUCUUUGAAAUUUUACAAGAUAGACAUUGAAAAGUAUAAAACACAAAUUAUUUAACAAUAUUUGAUCCUUAGCAUAUGAACAGCAAGGGAAUCAAUUAGUAUUAAAUAACUGUCUACAUUUUAUUUUGAUAACAUGUUAGACGUGCGAAUUUAUUAAUCUUAUUGUCUUGUUGCAUUAUGCUUUUAUAGGAAAGAAAAAUGCCAAGAUUGUCCUGUUGAGAGAAUUUCAACAACAAUAAGCUUUCCCACACUGAGAGAAUGAGUACCACAUUUUUUGGUGAAGAACUAAUUCUUCACAUGAAUCAAAAAUGUUGAACUAGUAAUCAGUGGCGGAGUCUGACUUUUGGUUAAGGGUGUUCAUAUUAUCCCUUGGGCAAAGAACUGUUUAAAAAACAAAGUAAAUAAAGCACUGCUGUACCUGCCAAGGUUUAAACCCGGGUUGUUGAUGCAGAAAUGCACACUCUUGACCACUGGACUAUGUUUCUCUAGCUUGUCAAGGGUGUGCAACAACAUGUAUAUAACCAUAAAUAUCUAUAUUUAACCUAUAUACUCGAAAAAAAAUUCCGACGAAAGGUGUUCAUCUAACCACCCUUCGUCAGCUGUGGCUCCGCCACUGGUAGUAAUAGAUAAUUAUAGAUAGCAAAACUGACUAUUCACAGAGAAUACUUGUGACAGUCGCGGAGCUCACCGAUGAAGAAAAGAGCGGUGGCGGUGGCUAUUUGAGAAGGAGAGAUGGUGGCGAUGCUGUUUCACCGAUGGCGGCGCUAGGCGGCUGCUAUUGGGGGAUGAACGGAGGGAGGUGGAGCAGCGACGGAGGUCGAAAAUGAUUUUAUUUUAGAGAGAAGGUAGAGAAGAGAGGGUUUGUAGAGAGAGAGUGGAGAGGCGGUUGUUUUUUUUUUAGAAUGAAGGAUUAGGGUUUUGUUUUUUUUAAAAGGAAAAAAGUGGGUGCUUUGGAUCUCAGCCGUUGGAUUAUUUUGAUCAACGUCUGAGAUAAAACAUGAUUAAAAAUAAGAUUAAAAUUGAAAUUUAAUUUAUGGCCAAAUUAAGGUCAAUUUUGACUGUAAUUGACACCAAUUGAGUAUAAAAUUACCUAAAAAUUAAACACCAAAGAGAAAUUGAAUGGAAUUGACUGUUAUUUUAACAAUAAUAAUAGUAGUAGAUAAUGCAUUUAAAAAUUGUGAGUGUGCGUAUGUGAGAAAUAAUUUAAUUAGUUUCUACUAUUUCUAUUUUAUGUAUAUUUUCUUAUUGUUUAAACCAAAAAUCGAACCGUUAAGGACUAAAAAUCAAUAAACUAAAAACCAAUAAAAACACUUUAUUGAUUUGAUUAUUGGUUUAAUAUGUUUAAAAAUUGCUAACCGAUAAACCAAACCGAACCGACCGAUGCACACCGCUAAUUUCAAGAAAAAAAAUAGUGAAAAUUGAUUUUAAUAUUGACCGUUGAUCAAAUAUGAUGAAUGAUUGAGAUUAAAAUUGAGGAGAUGAGUCAAAUUGGGAUUAGAAAUUGGGUUAAAAAAGAUUGAAUUGGAGAUUUCGAUUACGUUAAUACAACGUAUUAAUAUGAUGAGUUAUCGGUUAAUUAGCUUCAUUAUUAUAACUUCAAUAGUGUAUUAUUAUCUCGAUCAUAUGAUGUUAAUGUAUUUUUCAAAAUAUUUAGAUAUAUAGAUUCAGUUAGCUAGCUUUUAACUAUUAUAUACAUCACUAUACGAGAGAUACGUAUUUAUUUAUACAUACAUACAUAUAUAUAUAUAUAUAUAUAUAUAUAUAUAUAUAUAUAUUUGAUUGACUAUCAACUUUGUAAUAUGUACUAUAUACAUCAUAUACACGAGUAUAUUACCUCGUAAUACAACAUAUUUUAUUUCUACUCUAACGAAUUAUCAUUUAAUUUAGCUUACAUUAUUAUAUUAUAACCUCAAUAAUAUAUUAUUACCUUGAUCAAUCGAUCGUAUGAUAUCAAUGUAUUCAAUAUAUAUAGUUGAUUGACUAUAAACAUUACAAUAUAUACUAGAUACAUCACAUACACAUAUAUAUUACCUCAUAAUACAAUGUAUUUCAUAUAUACAAUGAUAAAUUAACGUUUAAUUUAGCUUAUGUUGUUAUAUUAUAACUUCAACAACAUAUUAUUUUCUUGAUCCAAUCAUAUGAUAUCAAUGUAUUCAAUAUAUAAUUGAAUACAUUUAAUUUUUUUUAAAUAUAAAAAUUAUUUAUUUAAUAGUAAACUAAAAAUAUCAAAUAUCGACAGACAGUGUCAUUUUCAUAAAGUUAAUUUUAUUUAUUUUUAAAAAUAUGAAAAAAUAAAAAGAUAUUUAAAAAUUGUGACAGAUAACGUCGCUUUUCUAUAAUUAAUAUUUUAAAAAUAAAUAAUUAUAGCGAUGUUGUCCGUCGAUUUUAAUAAAAAUAAAUUAAAAUAAAAUUUUAAUUUAAAAAGCGACGGACAACGUCCCUUUUCAAAAAAUUAAUUUUUAUUUAGUUUUAACAAAAGAGACGUUGUUCGUCACUUUUUGUAAAAAAUAAAAAAAUAAAAAAAUAUUACAAAUUACGAUAGACAACGUCUCUUUUCUAGAAUUAAUAUUUUAAAAAAUAAAAACUAUAGCGACGUUGUCCGUCGCUUUUAAUAAAAAUAAACAAAAAUAAAAAUUAAAUUUAAAAAGCGACGGACAAAGUCACUUUUUAAAAAAUUAAUUUUUAUUUAGUUUUAACAAAAGCGACGUUGUCUAUCGCUUUUCGUAAAAAAUAAAGAAAAAUUAAAAAUUAUUACAAAUUGCGACGGACAGCGUCGCUUUUCUAGAAUUAAUAUUUUAAAAAAUAAAAAUUAUAUAGAUGUUGUCCGUUGCUUUUAAUAACCAAAUUUUAAAAUUGACGGUCUAUGUCGCUUUUCAAAAAAAUAAUAAUUAUUAUUUUUAAAUUAAUUACGACGCUAUCCGUCGCAUUUAUUAAAAGAAAUUAUAAAUUAUUUUUUAAUUAGUUGUCACAAUAAUCCACAAAAAAAGCGACGAAUAUUAAGACGUUGUCUAUCGAUUUUAAUAAAAAAUAAAUAAAAAUUAAAAUUAAACUAUAAAAACGACAGAUAGUGUCGCUUUUUUUGCGUCGCUUUUUGACCUUUUUUUUAGUAGUAAUGUUUCAAACAACCAUUAAAGAAUACAUAAUUACCAAGUAAAUUGACAAAAUAUUGUAAUACUUAAAGUAAGAAGUGUGCAACAUGCCUUUUUGACAGAUGAAAUUUGAGAAGAACUUGAAUUUAAAUCCUUGAAAGUUGAACUUUGGGAAAGAACCCUUAUCUGGUGUUCUUGAUGGUUUCAGAGAAGAGUAAAUCAUGUAUUUAGCUUAAGGGAUGAGGAAAAACACAUUAGUAUUAGUUGUAGGAUGAUUUAGGACAUAAAUGACUUGUUCGCCCUUAAAAAACUAAAGAGAAACAUCAGUUUUAGCGACUCUAGAAACAUAGGUGUGCUAUGCCCUUAACGCGGAGCAUACAGGGCGUGACAUUCUCUUAUCAAGGAGCAUACAGGGCGUUCCACGCCCUUGUUAUGUACCUUCACUGAUUCGAUCACAAAAAUGCUCAUAACUUUUUGCUCGAGUAUCCGAUUAAGGAAAUCAGAUGCAUUAAAAAGAAGACUCAAUUGCCUUUCAUUUGGUGGGUCUUGAACUCCAAAACUCAAUAUAUUCUAGAAGUUAUAUACAUAUAAAAAUGACUCUUGUAGGAUCAUAUAUCAAAAUUCAGUCGAUAACAAAAGUUCUCAACUCAACUUUACUCUAAGUGUUCCCUAUGAACAUUCUUCACAUCGAAAGCACUUUACACACUAGGUAAAUGAUCAUGACACUUAUAUUUACACAGAAAUAUUUGUGUUCGUAUUUAUACAAGUAGAAAUGACGGUUCAAAUUCUAACUUGAAAACAUAAGGUGUUACACCUUAGACACUACAUGAGUUAUAAUAGUAGUAAGGAUUUGCUUGACUUUGUACUUAUAUGUGAGUUGAAAUCGCAUUGAGAAGAUAUAUAGAUCGCGUGUCACGCCAACAUUGUUAUGCAGAUCGGGUGUCACACCGACAUUGCUACUGAAAUGAGUGUCACACCGAUACUGGUAUAUGAACUAAGCUCAUUCUUUAUAGAUCAUAGCUGAGCAUCCUUGUCGACUCUAUUAUCUGUGUAAAUUUUGCAUGCAUGAAAUAAUCAUUUCAUUUGUACUUAUAAUUGCAAUGAUUAUUAUUAAAGAAAUCUGCCUAAGUAUAAUUAAUAUGCUCAGGAUGGCUAGUUUUUAUUGGUUUGAUUUCGCCACAAAUGUCCUCAAUAUUACUCAUAAGAGGAAGCUCGAAGUCCUUAUUGCAAAUAUAACCUCCCUUAAAAUUGUUUACAAAAUCUGAAAAAAAGAUUUAAAAAACAUAUAUUAAUGAUGUAAAGAAGAGAUGGCUUAGCUUAAGGAAGAAGGAGAUCGACAUGCAAAGACAGAAGCCCCGGCUGUUGAGGUUGAUCUUUUAUAGAGUCCUCAUAGCCACUCUUCCUUCUACAUCAAUUAAAAGUAUAGAUCAUAAAAUGCAAUAAAGAGAGAAAAUAAAAGUAUUUUUGUGGUGUGUUGUUUGGGGGGGGGGGGGGGGGGGGGGGGGGGGAAGAGGUGAGUAUUAAU
RNAcentral lists this long non-coding RNA (73073 nucleotides) under Capsicum annuum. RNAcentral describes it as "long non-coding RNA (CANN_LNC002772)". Lineage: Eukaryota; Viridiplantae; Streptophyta; Magnoliopsida; Solanales; Solanaceae. The record is from RNAcentral.